Molecule: long non-coding RNA, 45223 nt
Filed under: Cucumis sativus (cucumber)
Lineage: Eukaryota; Viridiplantae; Streptophyta; Magnoliopsida; Cucurbitales; Cucurbitaceae
Description: long non-coding RNA (CSAT_LNC003167)
Source: RNAcentral
CAACUUUCAGCACCUGGUACACCUCAACAAAAUGGUAUAUUAGAAAUGAGAAAUAAAACCUUGUUAGACAUGGUUCGUUUAAUGAUGAGUCAUGCUCAAUUGCCUUGCUCGUUUUGGGGGUAUGCAGAUUGAACAAUGUUCCUCGAAAAGUGUUUCUAAAAUACCUUUCUGUAACGAUCCAACACUUUAUACUAAGGUGAGAUCAUUACCACUAAAACAAAUAAAGACUUUUUAUUUAAAUCAAAGAAAAUACUAAGUUUUAAAAAGAAACACUCAUAAAAUAUAAGUAAAGUAUAUAAUAAAAUAUUAGUUCGGAACCUAUUUAAAAUAAAAAAAAUAUAUCUAAAAGUAAACAUGGGUUCUGAAAUAAAUUUAAUACUCAAAACAUAAAUGUGGAAGAAAACAUAAGAUGUUCCCUAUGACGAUCCACGGUCACUUCUUGCCAUUCGCGAGCUUGCCUUUACCUGCUCCUUUACCUGAAAAAUUAAACAUAGAAAAGGGUGAGUAUAAAUUUAUACUAAGUAAGAGACCCACUACUACUCCUGCUACGUGUCUGUUAACCUCUCGUUAUAGUCCUGUAAGAAAAUAUCGAAUAUCUAUUGUGCUCCCAAACGUACGCUAUCCAGUGAUCUUGUAGGAACACAUCUAGACUCUUGGUGAACCCGAAGGAGUCACCCUAAAGAAGUGUAAGUGAUCCUAUUGAUUCACAUAUAAAAGCUAAGCCACACAAACAUAAAUAGGUGGUGAUCCCGAGGGACACCCAUAUGAUACGACUCUAACAGGUAAAGCUAACACAACAUCAUAGUCUAUACAUAUAACAUAACAUAAAUAACAUAUCUCAAACAUGAUGUAUCUCAACCAUAGUAUAUCUCAUUCAUAACAUAUCGUGGUCAUCACAUAUCUUAGUCAUACAUAACGAUUUUUUAUGUAGCUAUCAUUAUCUAACAUUCUUCACAGUCACAUCACAUGCAUCAUGGCUACGUUAAUGCAUACUAAGGGAAAACAUAAUGUAAGGAUCUAAUAAUAAAACUUCUUACCUGGAGAUUAAUUAUCAACUAAUUCAGUCAUAAACAUAAACAAAAUUAAAAUUAUUAAUUUUGUCAACCAUCACCCAACUAUUUAAUUAAGCAUCCAAACUUCCAACUAUUUAAUUAAGCAUCCAAACUGACCCCCAAGAUUAAGGUUGAAUCAAACAAAACCUUGAAUGGAAAAUUUCGGAGUCUCAAAUCCUCAAAUUAACACUUGAACCUUCAAACAAAAAUAAUUUAACUCAUUCCAUUGUAAACUUAUUUAAGAUCCAAAAAAUAUUCAUUUGGGCAUACCAAACCAACACAGCUCAAGAGAUACCAAAAAGCAACUUGGCUUAAACUAAGGCAGAAAUGGCCCACGCGGCUCUGCAGGAGGAGAAUCGACUUGGCAGUCAGCUCGGGUGCACAACUCACAAAAGGAGAAAGAAAUCGGCUGUGACAAGCGCGAUUUACGAAGGAGUAGAUAAGUGGCUCUGUGAUGCACAGAUCGACUUGCUCAAGCAAGGGUUCGUUUAACGAUUGCCGGCAAUGAGAUCUGGGUGGCACGAGACAGAACUUAACGACGGUAAGGCUUAAUGAAAACGUUCAAAAACUAGAUGAUUGAUGAAAUGAAAAGAGAGAGAUUCCUCGGCUUCACCUACAUGCAAACGUAGGAGGUGGGGGGUGCAUAGUCGGCUUGUGCGACUUCGUCACUAAGGAACAAAGGAGGAAUGACGGUGUCAACAAACGACGAGCGGUGAUCCUUGCAACGGAGCACGAUGGCGGCUGGGGUUUGUGAAGAAUUAAGAAGAUGAUGAAUAGUUCCCUUUUUUGCACGUUUCACAAGGGUUAAUUAUAUAUAAUAAUAAUAAUGAUAUUUAUUAUUAUUAUCAUUAUUCCUUUUCUUUUGCUAAUUAACAAAUUAACCAAAAUCAAAUCAUACUUUCUCUCCUCGUUAAAUACCCAUCAAACCAAACUUUUUACUUUCCCCAAAAAUACAAUAUCUUUCCAAAUAAUUAGAUUUUCCACAAUAUAAUUAUUUUCUCUCUAAAAAAUAUCUUUCCUAAAAAAAAUCAAUAAUAUAUUAUUCUACCCUUCCAUAACUUAAUUAAUUAUAUACAUAUAUAAUUAACCAAUAAACUUAAAUCUCACCAAAAUUUUCAAUAGUAUAAUUAAUUAAAUAAUCUUCCACUGAACAUUCAAUUAAUCACAAUUUCCACAAUACUAAAAAAAUUAUAACACCCAAUUAAAUCCAUCAUAAAUUAAAUUAAACUAAGAUAAUUAAAAAAAUAAAAUUACCUUAAUUUUUGGGUGUUACAGUUUUUGAAUUUAAAUAAUUUUUAGACGUAACCAGCCUUAAGGACAGCAUGUUGUACAAGUUAUCGACCCUACUGCACCUGUCACUCAUGCAUACCUUGCUGCCAUGGAGCAAAUGUACAUAGACUUAUUGUUCAAAGUAUUGGCACAGUGACAACCUACCUAGGAUAUCCAAACAACUCAUGUACGGACACCGGCUGCAAGUGUUUAGAUCCCAGUUGCGGGAGUUUAGGCCCCAAUUGUAGCAUAUAACCUACUUGAUAUGCUUUCAGCAGAAGCCAAACACCUGAGGGAUUUCAGGAAGUAUAACCCUCGGACUUUCGAUGGAUCCUUGGCAAACUCCACCAAGGCGCAGAUGUGGUUGAGUUCGGUGAAGACUAUCUUUCGUUACAUGAAGUGCUCCAAUGACCAGAAAGUUUAGUGCGUCGUGUUCUUACUGACUGAUAGAGACAGAGGCUAGUGGAAGUCCACAUAGAGGAUGUUGGGUGGAGAUAUGAGUCAGAUCACCUAAAAGUAGUUUAAGGAGAAUUUUCAUGCCAAAUUCUUCUUCGUGUCAAGAGUUCUUAAAGUUGGAGCAAGGCAAUAUGGCCAUAGAGGAGUAUGAUCAAGAAUUCGAUGUGUUAUCCCGAUUUGCACCUGAGUUAGUGAGAACUGAGACUGAGAGAGUUGACAAGUUUGUCAAAGGCAUUAAGUAGGAGAUCCAGGGUUUCGUUAGAGUCUUUAGACUAGCUACCUAAGAUGAUGCACUACACAUGACAGUGGAUUUGAGUUUGCAUGAGAGGAUAAAGAUGGCCAAGGCUGUAGAGAAUGGUCCAAUUGUAGGGUAGAAAAGGAAGGCUUAGCAGUAGCCUACAAUAGCACCACAAAGGAAUUUGAGAUUAGGUGGUUUGUUCCAGCAGCUUAGACAGUAGGUUGUUGAGGCAGGCAAAACCUUGAAGGAAGUAUACAUGUGUUCUAAUUGUGAAAGGUCUCAUUCAGGUCAUUGCCUAAUAGGAAGUAGUAUAUGCUACAAGUGUAGGCAACCUGACAUAUAUAUAGCUGAUAAUUACCCUCAGAAAUAGUUUGAACCUAUCUCGAACUAGACUUCUACAUCUCGAUAGGGGUGAGUUUUUGCCACUAAUCAACAGGAGGCUGAGAAAGCUUACACAGUGGUGAUAGGUACACUCCUAAUCUUGGAGCACUUUGCUUUAUUAUUAUUUGACUCGGGGUCCUCUCAUUCUUUUAUAUCGCCAAUUUUUGUUCAACAUAUGAGUUUACAAGUAGAACCCUUGAGUUAUAUGUUAUUUGUCUCUACUCCAUCUGGAGAAAUUAUGUUGUCGAAAGGAAAGAUAAAAACAUGUUAAAUAGAAAUAGCAUAUCAUGUUUUAGAUGUAACUUUAUUAGUAUUACACAUGCAAGACUUUGAUGUAAUAUCGGGCAUGAAUUGGCUAUCUGCUAACCAUGCAAACAUAGAUUAUUCUCGCAAGGAGGUAGUUUUUAACCCUCAUGAGGCGACUAGUUUAAAGUAUAAGGGGGCGGGGACUGUGGCCUACCCAAAGUUAUCUCAACCAUGAAGGCCAGUAAGUUGUUCAACCAAGGUACUUAGAGUAUCUUGGCUAGUGUUGUAGAUACCAGAGAGCCCGAUGUAUCCUUAUCAUCUGAAUGAAUGGUAAGGAAAUACCCCGAUGUUUUUUUAGAAGAGCUUUCAAGACUUUCUCCUCACAAAGAGGUUGAUUUUGCUAUUGAACUGAAACCAGGCACUGGUCCCAUAUCGAGAGCUCCAUACAGAAUGGCUCCAGCUGAGCUGAAGGAGUUGAAGGUCUAGUUGCAAGAAUUAUAGGACAAGGGCUUUAUUCGAUCUAGUAUGUCACCUUGGGGAGCACCGGCAUUAUUUGUGAAGAAGAAAGAUGGGUUGAUGUGUCUUUGCAUUUACUAUAAAAAGCUUAAUAAGGUGAUAGUCAAGAACAAAUAUUCAUUGCCCAGGAUUGAUGGCUUGUUUGAUCAGUUUUAGGGAGCCACUGUGUUCUCUAAGAUCAAUUUACGAUCAGGAUAUCACCAGUUGAGGAUUAGAGACAGUGAUAUUCCCAAGACUGCCUUUCCAGAUAUGGACAUUACGAGUUUAUUGUGAUGUCCUUUGGCUCGACAAAUGCUCCUGGUGUAUUUAUGGAUUUGAUGAAUAAGGUGGUGCUUAAGGAUUUCUUAGACACUUCUGUGAUAUUUUUUAUUGAUCACAUCUUGGUUUACUCCAAGACAGAGGCUGAGCAUGAGGAGUAUUUGCAUAAGGUAUUAGAGACUCUUCGAGCCAAUAGGCUAUAUGCCAAGUUUUCCAAGUGUGAGUUUUGACUGAAGCAAGUUUUGUUCCUUGGCCAUGUAGUGUCCAGUGAAGGAGUUAUUAUAGACCCAGCAAAGAUUAAAGUUGUUACCAUUUGGCCUCGACCUUGUACAGUCAGUGAAGUUUAAAGUUUUUUGAGUUUAAUAGGUUAUUACAGAAGGUUCGUGGAAGGCUUCUCUCGUAUAGCUAGUCCUUUGACCUAGCUAACCAGGAAGGGGAAUCCUUUUGUUUGGAGCCCAGCAUGUGAGAGCAGUUUCCAGGAUCUUAAACAGAAACUUGUUACUACACCAGUCCUUAUAGUGCCAGAUGGAUCUGGGAGUUAUGUGAUUUACAGCGAUGCCUCUUAGAAAGGAUUGAGUUGUGUAUUGAUGCAAUAAGGUAAGGUGGUUGUUUAUGCCUCUCCUCAGUUGAAGAGCCAUGAGCAGAACUACCCUACACAUGAUUUAGAGUUUGGCAGCAAUAGUUUUUGCACUUAAGAUUUGGAGGCAUUAUUUAUAUGGUGAGAAGAUUCAGAUCUUCAUUGACCAUAAGAGCUUGAAUUGGUCAAGGACUUAAAUAUGAGAUAGCGCGGAUGGCUCGAGUUGGUCAAGGACUACGAUCAUGAGAUCGUGAGUUAGUAGGAAGGUAUCAUACUCUGUAGCACUCAUUACUAGUCAGGUUCCUUUGCACAGAGAUCUUGAGAGAGCUAAGAUUGCAUUUUUAGUAGGAGAAGUCACCUCACAGUUAGCUCAGGUGUCAGUACAACCAACUUUGAGGCAGAGAAUUAUUAUUGCUCAGCUCACUGAUCCUUAUUUGGUUGAUAAGUGAUGCUUAACAGAAGUAGGGUAAGCUGAGGAGUUCUCUUUAUCCUCUGAUGAUGGACUCAUGUUCGAGAGACGGUUAUGUGUGCCAGCAGACAGUGUAGUUAAGACAGAGUUGUUGGUUGAGGCCCAUAAUUCUCCACUUUCUAUGCAUCCAAAUAGUACAAAGAUGUAUAAAUAUUUAAAACAAGUUUACUGGUGGAAAAAUAUGAAGAGGGAAGUGCCAGACUUUGUCAAUAAGUCUCUAGUUUGCUAACAGGUGAAGACACUAAAACAGAAGCCAACAGGUUUUUUGCAACCUUUGAGUGUGCCAGAAUGGAAGUGGGAGAAUGUGUCUAUAGAUUUCAUUUUAGAACUGCCAAGGUCUCUGAAGGGUUAUAAAGUAAUUUGGUUUAUUGUUGACAAGCUCACGAAGUCAGCCCAUUUCAUCUCAGAGAAGGCCACUUGUACUGCCAGUAAGUGGCACAGUUGUAUAUGACCGAGAUAGUGAGACUGCAUGGAGUGCUCGUGUCAAUUGUUUCUGAUAGAGAUGCCUAUUUUACUUCCAAGUUUUGGAAAGGACUUCAGGCUGCCAUGGGCACGAGAUUGGACUUUAGUAUAACUGUUCACCCUCAGACUGAUGGUUAGACAGAGCGUUUGAGCCAAAUUUUGGAGGAUAUGUUCCAAACAUGUGUGCUAGAGUUUUCAGGAAGUUGGGACUCCUAUUUGCAUUUGAUGGAGUUCGCUUAUAAUAACAGUUAGCAGGCUACCAUUGACAUGGCAUCAUUUGAAGCUCUGCAUGGUAAGUGUUGUAGAUUCUCUGUAUGUUGGGGUGAGGUUGGUGAGCAGAGGAUGUUAUGUCCCAAGCUAGUUCAGACCACCAAUGAGGCCAUACAGAAGAUUAGAGCCCGCAUGUUGACAGCGCAGAGCAUACAGAAGAGUUACGCCAAUGAACAACGUAGGGAUCUUGAGUUCGAUGUAGGGGACAUGGUUUUUGUAAAGGUAGCACCUAUGAAGGGUGUUAUGAGGUUUGAGAAGAAGGGAAACCUGAGUCCACGUUUCGUAACUCAUCAUUUGGCAUUGCCUCUGUCAUUGUCUGCAGUUCAUGAUGUAUACGAUGUAUCCAUGCUGAGGAAGUGUGUAACAGAUCCAACACAUAUAGUUGAUUAUGAGUCAUUGCAAAUCAAUGAGAACUUGAGCUAUGAGGAGCAACCAGUUGAGAUUUUGGCAAAAGAAGUUAAGUUGCUUCAUAACAGGGGAAUUAAUUAAUGUUCUUUAUCAAAACCACGAGGUUGAAAAAGCUACUUGGGAGAGAGAGGACAACAUGAGAGCUCAUUAUCCCGAGCUAUACAAGGAUUAGAACUUUCAAGGACGAAAGUUUCUCAAAGGAGGGACGUAAUCUUAUUUUUAAAUUAUCUUAAUUUAAUUUAAUUUAUGAUGGAUUUAGUCUAGUGUUAUAAUUUUUUAGAAUUGUUUGUUUUGUGGAAAUUGUGAUUAAUUAAAUGUUCAAUGGAAGAUUAUUUAAUUAAUUGUAUUAUUGGAAAUUUUGGUGAGAUUUAAGAUUAUUGGCUAAUUAUAUAAGUAAAUAUAAUAAACUAAGUCAUGGAAGGGUAAGAAUAAUUUAUUAUUGACUUUUUUAGGAAAGAUAUUUUUGAGCGAGAGAAAAUAAUUAUAUUGUGGAAAAUAUAAUUAUUUUGAAAGAUAUUGUAUUCUUGGGAAAAAUAAAAAGUUUGGUUUGAUGAGGAGACAGAGUAUAAUUUAAUUGAGUUAACUUGUUAAUUGGAAAUGGAAAAGGAAUAAUGAUAAUAAUAAUAAAUAUCAUCAUUAUUAUUAUAUAUAAUUAACCCUCGUGAAACGUGCAAAGAAAAGAGAGAACUAUUCAUCAUCUUCUUCCUUCUUCACAAACCCUAGUCGUCACUGAACCCAUUGCAAGGAUCAUCACUCGUCGUUUGUGGACACUAUCAUUCCUCCUCCGUUCGCGUACAGGUGAAGUUGAGGUGUCUCUCUCUUUUUAUUUAUUUUUCGCACGUUUUUGUCAAGCCUCAUUGUCGGCAAGUUCUGUCUCGUGCCACCAAAAUCUCAUCGCAGGCAACAGUCGAACGAACCUUUUGCCUGACCAAGCCGAUAUGUGCAUCACCGAGCCGAUUCUCCACUUCUUCACAAGUUGCCCUCAACUCUGCUGAUUUUUCCUCUCUUUGCGAGUAGUGCGCCCAAGCUAACCGUCGAGCCGAUUCUCCUUCUGUCAAGUUGUGUGAGCCAUUUCUACCUUAGUCCAAGCCAAGUUACUUUUUGGUAUCUCUUGAGCCUUUUGGGUGAAUUUGUGUUGGGUUUGGUACGUCCAAAUGAAUAUUCUUUGGAUCUUAAAUAAGUUUACAAGAGAAUGAGUUGAAUUACUUUUGCUCGAAGGUUCAAGUGUUAAUUUGAGGAUUUGAAACUGCAAAUUUUUUCAUUCAAGGUUGUGUUGGAUUCAACCUUAGUCUUGGGGUAAGUUUGGAUGCUUAAUUAAAUAGUUGGAUGAUGGUUGACAAAAUUAACAAUUUUAAUUUUGUUUAUGUUUAGGCCUGACUUAAUUGAGAAUUGACUGUCAGGAAGGGACUAUAUUUUCAACUAAUUAAUCUCCAGGUAAAAGAUUCUACUACCAGCCUCUUACAUUAUGUUUUACCUUAGUAUGCAUUAACAUAGUUAUGAUGCAUGUGAUGUGACUGUUAAGGAUGUUAGAUAAUGAUAGCAACAUAGAAAAUCGUUAUGUAUGACUGAGAUAUGUGAUGACCAUGAUAUGUUAUGAAUGAGAUAUACUAUGGUUGAGAUAUAUUACGAUUAAGAUAUGAUAUUUAUGUUAUGCUAUAUAUGCUAUGAUGUUCUGUUAGCUUUACUUGUUAGAGUCGUACCAUGUAGGUGUCCCUCGGGAUCACCACCUAUUUAUGUAUUUGUGGUUAGGUUUGAUGUGUGAUUCGACAAGAUCACUUACAACUUGACUCUUCUUUAGGGUGAUUCCUUCUGCUUCACCAAGAGCCCAUAUAUGUCCCUACGAGAUCACUGGAUAGGGUGAUUUCAGUAGAAUAAUAGAUAUGCGGUACUUUCUUAUAGGAGGACUUUAACGUAAAAUUAACAAACACGUAGUGGGACUAAUAGUGGAUCCCUUACUAAGUAUAAAUUUAGACUAACUCCUUUCUAGAUUUAAUUUUUCAGGCAAAGAUAGAAAUAAAGGCAAGUUGGCGAAUGACAAGAAGUCACCAUGGUUCUCCAUAGGGGACAAUUUAUGUUUUAUUUAGCAUUUAUAUUUUCAAUAUUAAAUUUUCAUAAACUUAUUUCAGAACCCACAUUUACUUUUAGAUAUAUAUUUUUAUUUUAAAUAGGGCCCAAACUAAUAUUUUAUUUAUUGUUUUCUUUACAUACUUUACUUAUAUUUUAUGAAUAAAUAUUUGAAGUGUUUGUUUUAAAACUUAGUAUUUUCUUUGAUUUAAAUAAAAAGUCUUUAUUUGUUUUAGUAGUAAUGACCUCAACUUAGUAUAAAGAGUUGGGUCGUUACACUUUCGAGUUAUGUAGAGGAUGUAAACCUAGUUAAGUCACUCCAUAAUUUGGGGUUGUCCAGCACACGUUUUAGUGUCAAAUUCUAAGAAGUUGGACUCUCGUUCAAGGUUAUGUCAAUUUUUUGGUUAUCCUAAAGAAACGAGAGGUGGUCUAUUCUUCGAUCCACAAGAAAACAAAGUGUUUAUAUUGACAAAGGCUACUUUCUUGGAAGAAAACAACAUGAGAGAUCAUAAACCAUGAAGCAAAUCAAAAUUAAGUGAAGCUACUAAUGAAUCAGCAAGGGUUGUUGAUGAAGUUGGUCCCUCAUCAAGAGUUGAGGAAACCAACACAUCCGAUUAGUCUCAUCCUUCUCAAUUGUUGAGAAUGCCUCGAUGCAGUGGGAGAGUUAUAUCACAACCUAAUCGUUACUUCGGUUUAACUGAAACUCAGGUUGUCAUACCAGAUGAUGUCGUUGAGGAUCCAUUGUUCUAUAAAUAGGCAAUGACUGAUGUAGACAAGGACUAAUAGGUUAAAACCAUGGAAUCUAUGUACUUCAAUUCAGUAUGAGAGCUUGUAGAUCUACCUGAAGGGGUGAAACCCAUAGGGUGCAAAUGGAUCUAUAAGAGAAAGAGAGAUUCAGCUGGGAAGGUACAAACCUUCAAAGCUAGACUCUUAGCAAAUGGGUAUACCCAAAGGGAAGGGAUUGACUACGAGGAAACUUUUUCUCUGUUGCUAUGUUAAAGUCUAUAAGGAUUCUCUUGUCCAUAGUCACUUUUUAUGAUUAUGAAAUAUGACAAAUGGAUGUUAAUACUGCUUUUCUAAGUGGCAAUCUUGAAGAGAGUAUCUUUAUGUCUCAGCCUGAGGGGUUCAUAACCCAAGGUUAGAAACAAAAAGUUUACAAGCUGAAUCGAUCCAUUUAUGGGUUGAAAUAAACAUCUAGAUCUUGGAACAUUAGAUUUGAUAUUGCGAUCAAAUCUUACGGUUUUGACCAAAAUGUUGAUGAGCCUUGUGUAUACAAGAAAAUCAACAAAGAUAAAGUAGCUUUCUUAGUACUUUAUGUGGACGAUAUCCUUCUCACUGGAAAUGAUGUAGGAUACCUAACUAACGUUAAAACUUGGCUACCAGUCCAAUUCUAAAUGAAAGAUUUGGGAGAGGCACAAUUUGUUCUUGGGAUCCAAAUCAUAAGGGAUCGUAAGAACAAAAUGCUAGCACUGUCUCAGGCAACCUAUAUCGACAAAAUAUUGGUUCGAUAUUCGAUGCAAACUCUAAGAAGGAUUUAUUACCUUUCAAGCACGAGGUUUACUUGUCUAAGGAACAAUGUCCUAAGACACCUCAAGAAGUUGAGAAGAUAUGAGACAUAUUCCAUAUGCCUUAGUUGUGGGUAGCUUAAUUUAUGUUAUGUUCUGCACUAGGUUAGACAUUUAUUAUGUAGUGGGAAUAGUCAGUAGAUAUCAGUCCAACUUAGGGUUAGACCACUAGACGACGGUUAAAAUUAUUCUUAAGUAUCUUAGGAGAAUGAGAAACUACAUGCUUGUGUAUGAAGCUAGGGAUUUAAUCCUGAUUUCUAAACAGAUAAGGAUUCUAGGAAAUCUAGUGGGAUUAGUGUUCACCCUAAACGGGAGAACAGUAGCAUGUCAUAGCAUCAAGCAAGGAUGCAUUGUAGACUCUACUAUAAAGGUUGAGUACGUCGUUGCUUGUGAAGCAACAAUAGAAGCAAUUUGGCUAAGGAAGUUUCUGCAAGAUUUGGAAGUUGUUCCAAAUAUGAACAUGCCCAUCACUUUAUAUUUUGAUAUCAAUUGGGCAGUGACCAAUUAUAAGGAACCUCAUAGCCACAAAUGAGGAAAACAUAUAGAGAGAAAAUAUCAUCUGAUACAAGAGAUUGUGCAACGAAGUGAAGUGAUAGUCACCAAGAUCGCUUUGGAGCAUAACAUUGCUGAUCCAUUUACAAAGACUCUCACGGCUAAAGUGUUCGAGGCUCAUCUAGAGAGUCUAGAUCUGCGAGUUUUGUACAUUAGGUAAUCUAGGACAAGUGGGAGAUGUGUAAUGGGUAUGGGGAUGUCCUAGUUUAUUGUAUUGGGGAUUUAAUUGUUGAGUACUACAAAUUUGUAAAUCUACUAAUUUAGAGGAUUUUCUCAUAUCGUGCUUCAUUUCUAAUUCAUUUUAAAGGAUUUCUCUUGAUCUCUAAAAAGAGUGGUCGUAAUGGUUUGAUCCUAAACCGUGGAAAUGAUUGAGCUUGUUCUUACACUUGAAAAAAGGAACGUUGUAUGGAUCUACUCUAAGCCAUCGAAAGAGUCAAGUUUGAGUGAAAUAACCAAGAGGAGCUUGAAAAGUGGAUGUAGGUCGGUUGUGCGAGCCACUAUAAAAUUCCCGAUGUUAAUUUCUUUAUCUCUCAACUAUUUAAUUUUGCAAUUAAUUUGUUAUCAAAUUUUAGUGUUUGAAAUUAAUUGCAACUUUUGUUCUUGAGAUUAAUUGCUCACUUCUCUAUUUAGGUUGGUUUAAGUUUAUCUUUGCAUAUUUGUGUUACCAAUUUUCUUGUUAUAAACAUUAAAAUGGAUGUUUGAAUUUGUUAACGUCACCUUAUAAGUUAUUUUGAUGUGCAUGCAUUUGUAUGAGAUUAUUGAUUACAUUAUUUAUUAGCAAAAAGUUUGUUAAUUUAUUUAAUUUGGCCCACUUGUUUCAUUAAUUUGUAAAAACCCUAUUCACCCUCUUGAGGAUUCCCAUACCGAUCGUACACGAGAUACAAUUGAAGAUAAUUCAAAUUCUAGAUUAAGUUAAAUAUGUGAUGCUUAACUUAGUAAUUAAUUAAUUGGAAAAGUAAUUAAUUAAAUUAAAUCAUGAAUAAUACACAUAAAUGUAGCAAAACCCAAAAAUAUUUACGUCGCAUGUAACAAAAAAUUAAAGCACAUGAAGCCACCAUUAUUUUUUUUUAUAAAUUUCAGAUUUUCCCUUUGUCAUUAUUUUUGCGCAUUGUGAAACCAUUCUUCACUUCACUUCUUUUUCUUCUUCUUUGCAAUUUAUUCUUCUCUUCUUCGUAUUAUUAAUUUCUUCAUAUUAUUACUUCUCUUUCAUAUUCUCACUUCUUCUUGUCUUUGAUUUCUUCAUUUCCUUUUUCAAAAUUACUUCCUUCUUCAUCUCUCAUCUUCUCUUUUUGCUUCUUGGUACAAGAUCUAAAUGAUAUUAGUACAUGAUUUAAAUGAUAAUGUAUCAAUAUCUAAAUCAUCAGUUGUCUAUCCCAGAUAAACAGACAUAGACCACUGUUACUAAUGGAUCGUUUAGAUUUGGUACAAUAUUGUUUAGACUAAAUAAAAGAUCGUUUAUGUUGGGAUUUAUGUCCUAAAACUCGUAGAUUGUAAAUAUAAUCCAUUAAUCGUUGUUAAUAACAUGUUAUUAUUGUAAUAAUUGUUAUUGGUUAUAAUAUUAGUUGUCUUAAUAACUCAAAUCAAACAAACUAACAUCCUAAGUUGUUUAAUGAAUCUUAAACAGUAUGUAGAGACAUACAGGGAUAAAGGUUCAAGAUCAGCUUAAAGGUUCUAUAGUACAAGGAUAAUGCUGAAUACCUAAUCCUGGUAACACUAUGAAUAUGGCUCACUUUGUAUUUGAUACAAACACAAUGAUUCAACGCGUUUGUGUAGUUGACAUACGAGUGACGGUAUCUUAUGCAAUAAGUUUACAUAAGAUCAGACGGCAAAAUAAUAACUACUAGAUGAAACUCUGUUUACUAGUUAGGUUUCUAUUCAUUAGGAUGACCUAGGUAACUUAGUUUUAAUUGUAACGCCCCAACUUUUCUAGAAGGUUGAGGUCAUUACUAUUUAAGUAAGUAUAAUGAUUUUUUUAAUAUACAAGAAAAUAAAUUAAAAUUUGAGGAAAAACUUUAAAUAAUAAGUAGUUAAAAUAACUGAUCAAAAUACCAGUUUGGGCCCAAAAAUAGAAGAAAUACUUAAAGUAAUUGAACCAGAGUUCUGAAAUAAACCUAUGAAAAUAUAAGUAUUGAAAUAUAAAUGCGAAGAAAACUGAAUUGUUCCCUAUGGCGAUCUAUGAUCACUUCUUAUCAUUCGCUAUUAUGCCCUUGCCUCUACCCUUACCUGAAAUUAAACAUUUAAAAGAGUGAGUAUAAAUUUAUACUUAGUAAGAGACCCAUAGUGGUCUCACUAUGUGUCUGUUAACCUUUCGUUAGAGUCCUGUAACAUGGUACCGCAUACUAUUGCGCUCCCGAACGCAUACUAUCAAGUGGUUCCGUAGGGACACAUCUAGGCUCUCGGUGAACCCGAAGGAAUCAUCCUAUAGGAGAGUCAGACUGUAAGUGAUCCCGUCGAAUCACAUCUCAAACAAGUCACACAUGCAUACAUAGGUGGUGACCCUGAUGGACCCCCAUACGGUACAACUCUAAUAGGCAAAACUAACAGAACACUAUAGCCUAUACAUGUUUAUCAUAAGAUCAACAUCUUAGCUCAAUUACACAUAACUCAAAAGUAACAUAUUUGAUUAUAGCAUGCCUCAACAAAUAAUACUAUAUCUAAAUCAUAAUAUGGUUUUCAAAGUAACUAUUUAUACGACCAUCUCAAACAACAUAAUUCAACUCAUUCCAGUGCUAACUCAUUUUAGACCCAAAACAAUAAUUAUUUGGGUGUACCAAACACAACGAGAAUUAAGCAAAAACUCACCAAGGGCUUAAAUAUGUUGCAGACGGCUAAAACUGAAGGUGGCUCGACUAACAACGCUUCAGCUCGAGUCUUGAGACUCACGGCUGGCAUACGACUCACACAGGAAUGGCUCGGUUGCGCGUGGCUCAUAUGGCUUACACGAAACGGCUCGGAUCCACAGAGAUGACUCACGAGGCUCGGUGAAGGAAUACGACUCGAACUAACACGACUUGAACAUGUGGCUCGCAAAAAGAAAACUUUCACAGCUUGCACCCUUCACUGUUAAGCAUGAUGAUGUCCGGCGGUGCUGUGCGAGUGGAGGCAACGACGGGUGAUGGUUUCGACGGAAGAGAGGGUUCUGACCGAUGAUGUGGAGGAGGAACGCACAGAGGAAGACAGGGGUCGUUCGACGGUUCAAUGCAACACGCGUCGACACGGCUGGAGAGAAACGAACGGUUGUGCUUCGUGACCGUGACGCUUCGACUAUGCGACUGUGACAGGGACUCUCUCACCGGAGUGCUGCAUUCGAUGAUGGCUGGAGGAGCGGGGCGACAGCUACUCUAGGGUUAAAUGGUGAAGAAGAAAGAGUGGGGUGGAGAAGAUGAGCACGAAAUACGAGAGAGACUUAUUUAAUAUAUACAAUAAUAAUAAGUAUUAUUAUUAUUAUUGUCAUUAUCUUUAUUAUCAUUAUUUAAUUUCCCCAACGAACUCAUUUUUUUCUAUUUCAAUUAAUUUUUCUCUUUCCAUUACUAACUCAAUCCAUCAUCAAUAACUUCUCUCGUUUCCUUAAUAAUUAUAUUAUCCCAUAAUAUAAUUAUUCUUAUUCGUCUAUAACUUUGCUUAUACCCAUAAACAAUAAUUACUCAUAAUACUUUCAACUUUACAAAUUUAAUUUACCAACCAAUCAAUCCAAAAAUUACCACUUUAACAAAAUGAUUUCAAAUUUCAGAAUUAACCACAUAUCAUUCCAACGCACUUAACUUCCACAAAUCAAUAAUUUCACACAUAAUACUUUCUAUGGGCACGCACGCACAAUAGACACACACACACGUGCACAUGCGCACACACGGACACGCGCAUACACAUGCACACGCUAGCGUACACGCACACUCACCCACACGCACACGCGCACGCACACAUAUGCACAAAGAUGUGUAAAUGAAUUAAGAUUAAAAAACAAUUACAAUAAUUAUGUUUAGGAGUAAAAAUCAUGUUCAUUUGACUUAAAAAACAUUAAUUAAAUUAUAAUUUCUAUCAAUAUUGGUUUAAGAGUGUCAUUAUUUCAAUAUAAUGCGGUUUUAUGCAAUUUUACCAACAAAAAAUAAGUCGAAUAUGGACCUGUAGAUCCACACUCUUUGUCCUAAGAGAUAUAACAACUUUUCUAUGGGUUAUUUUAAAAAAUAGAAAAACGAUUUUUUCUUUUGAAUUAAAGCAAAUAACAUUUUUUGCACGUGCAUGGUAUUUUACAAAAUAUCCACCUUCUCCAACUGUAUUAUUUAGUUUCUACGUUGUAAUUAAUUUAUGUCAUUUAUCAGCUUUUAAUUAAUUUUUACUUGAAAAAUAUACAUCAAUCCAUAUUGCAACUUUUUUUUUAAUAUCUUGGGACUCAACUAAUUGAUUCAAUAUUUUAAUAACUUUAUUCAAUCUUACUAAUUUUCAAAAUAACCCAAUUGAAUUAAAUUUCAAAAAUAACCAAAUUAUUAUUUUUCAGAAUUUGAGAAUCUCAACAUAGAUUUUGUAUCAAAAUAACCUUAAUUGAAUUCAAAAUUAAAAAAUAUCGACUUGUUCGCUAUUUUUAUCUCAAAAUAACAUUAAUGGCUUAAACAUCAAGAUAACGAAAUUUAUUAUUUAAAAUUGGAAGAAUCUCAUCACUAAAAAUAUCAACAUGUUCGCACACGCGCACACGCACGAACGCACACAUACACAUGCACGCAAGCACACUCGCACACGCGCGCACGCACGCACUUUUGCACACGCACACCCAUCCACACUUACCUACACACACACGCGCACACACACACAUAUGUAUAAAGAUGUGUAAAUGAAUUAAAAUUAAAAAAUAAUUAAAUUAAUUGUGUAUAGAAAAACUUUUAAACCAUAUUCAUUUGACUUAAUAACAUUAAUUAAAUAACAAUUUUUAUCAAUAUUGGUUGAAAAGUGUCAUUAGUGUAAUUAUUUCAAUAUAAUGGAGUUUUAUCCAAUUUUACCAACAAAAAACAAGUCGAAUAUGGAUUAGUAGAUCCACAGUCUUUGUCAUAAGAGAUAUAGCAACGUUUUUAUGGGUCAUUUUAAAAAUAACAAAACUACUUUUUCUUUUGAAUUUUAGCAAAUAGCAUUCUAUCACGUGCAUGGUAUUUUCUAAAAUACCAAAAUAUUCAUCUUCUCCAACUGUAAUUAUUUUGUUUCUACUUUGUAAUUAGUUUAUGUUAUGCAUUUAUCAACUUUUAAUUAUUUUUUAUCUGAAAAAGAUACAUAAACCUAUAUCAUAAAUUUUUUUCUUAAUAUCUCGAGACUCAAGUAAUUGAUUCAAGAUUUUCAUAAAUUCACUCAAUCUUACAAUUUUCAAAAUAACUAAUGGAAUUGAAAUUUCAAAACAACCAAAUUGAAUUUCAAAAUAACAGAAUUAUUUAUUUUCAAAAUUUCAAAAUCUCAUAUAGAUUUUGUAUUAAAAUAACCUAAAUUGAAUUUCAAAAUUAAAAAAUAUCAACUUGUUCGCUAUCUUUUAUCUCAAAAAUAACAUUAAUGACUUGAAUAUCUAGAUAAUAAAAUUAUUAUUUUAAAAUUGAGAGAAACUCAACAUUAAAAUAUAUCAACUUGUUCACACACAAGCACACACGGACACGGGCAAACGCGCACACACGUACACACGCACGUAUGAGCGCACACACACCAACACACCCACGCGCACAAGCACAUACGCGUCCGCACACACAGACACACAUAAGCACACAUACAGACACACACACACGUGUGCACAUCAGCACACAAACACGAAUGCACACACGCAUACACACACCCACCCACAUGCACAAAUGUGCACAAACGUACACCUGCACGCACACACACUCGCACGCAUACACACACCGCACGAACGCACACUCACACCCACACGCAUACCCACACACCCACACGCACAAAUGCACAAAACUGCGUAAAUGAAUUAAAGAUAAGAAACAAUUACAUUACUUGUGUUUAAAAAGACUUUUAAAUCAUUUCAUUUGACUUAAUAACAUUAAUUAAAUUAUAAUUUUUAUCAAUAUUGGUUGAAAAGUGUCAUUAGUGUGAUUAUUUCAAUUUAAUGCGAUUUUAUCCAAUUUUACAAAAAAAAAAAAACAAGUAGAAUAUGGACUAGUAGAUUCACACUAUUCAUAAGAGAUAUAACAACGUUUUUAUGGGUCAAUUUAAAAAAUGGCAAAACUAUUUUUUUUUUAAAUUUUAACAUAUAGCCUUAUUGCACGUGCAUGGUAAUUUAUAAAAUAUCAAAAUAUCCACUUUCUCCAACUGUAAUUAUUCCAUUUCUACGUUGUAAUAAAUUUAUGUUAUGCAUUUAUCAGCUUUUAAUUAUUUUUUACCUGAAAAAGAUACAUCAACCCAUGUCAUAACUUUUUUCUUAAUAUCUCGAGACUCAACUAAUUGGUUCAAUUUUUAUAACUUUAUACAAUUUUUACUAUUUUCAAAAUAACCUAAUUGAUUUGAAUUUUAAAAUAACCAAAUUGAAUUUCAAAAUAACAAAAUUAUUAUUUUUCAGAAUUUUAAAAUCGCAACGAUAGAUUUUGUAUUGAAAUAAUCUUAAUUGAAUUUUCAAAACUAAAAAGUAUCAACUUGUUCACCAUCUUUAUCUCAAAAUAACAUUAAUAGUUUGAAUAUAAAGAUAACUAAAUUAUUAUUUUAAAACUAGGAGAAAUUCUACAUUAAAAAAUAUCAACUUGUUGCACACAAGCACAUGUGCACACCCACCCACACAUGCACACGCACAAAAUGUGCAUACACGCAAACAUGUACGCACACAUGUGCACACACACAUGUACGCACGUGUACACACACGUACACACGCGCGACAGCCACACACGAACAUACGCACAAACGCACACACAUACACGCACAUGCGCAUGCGCACCACCCACACAAACUCACACACGCACAAAGAUGUGUAAAUGAAUUAAAUUAAAAACAAUUACACUAAUUGUGUUUAUAAAGACUUUUAAACCAUGUUUAUUUGACUUAAGAAACAUUAAUUAAAUUAUAAUUUCUAUCAUUUGGUUUUAAAAUGUCAUUAGUGUAUUUAUUUCAAUAUAAUGCGGUCUUAUCCAAUUUUACCAACAAAAAAACAAGUCGAAUAUGGACUAGUAGAUUCACACUCUUUGUCAUAAGAGAUAUAACAACAUUUUUAUGGAUCAUUUUGAAAAAUGACAAACUACUUUUUCUUUUGAAUUUAGCAAAUAGUAUUUUUUGCACGUGCACGGUAUUUAUAAAAUACCAAAAAUAUCCACAUUCUUCAACUGUAAUUAUUUUGUUUCUACGUUGUAAUUAAUUUAUGUUGUGUAUUUAUCAGCUUUUAAUUAUUUUUUACUUGAAAAAGAUACAUCAAUCCAUAUUGCCACAUCAAUCCAUACCAAAACGUUUCUAAGAAAGGAUCAUUCUCACCCAUACUUUAAAUUCUUCAAACACAAUGCAAUUAACUUAAAGCAGUACAAAACAAAACAAGAAAUCUAACCAACAAUAACAAAAAAAUAAACCUUAAGCCUGAUCCUUGCAGUCCAUUGGGAGGUUCAGAACGGGACAUGAUCGAGAACAAUCGAUUCCGAGCUGCAGGUUUCGACAUCGACAAAGAAUUUCCAAGUAAAUGAAAAUUUUGGAAAUGGGUGGUGAAGAAAAAUAAGGUUGAGAGGAUUUUGUUUGGUGAGUGGAAAAACUCUAGCCAGUGGAAAGAAUGGAAGAAAUGGGUUUAUUACACAGAUUUUUCUUAAUGAUUUUGGAAGAACAAAGAGAUUGUGAGAAGGUUUAACGGCAAUGACAAUGGCAGAAUGUUAAAUCCCCGAAAAGACUAAAUGGCAAAUUGAGAGGAAGAAGGAAGAAAGAAAUUCUCUUUCAAGCUAGGAAAAGACAGAAGAAUGGGAAUUGAAUUGUACGUUUGGUAUGGCUAUAUGCAAUUUUCUUGCUUCUUUAUGGAUAUGUUGUACAAAGAGAAGAACGAUGACAUGGUUCACUUUGUUUCUCUCUUUACAAAGUAACCAAUGACUUAAAGAAAGACAUUGAACAACAAAUGACCAAUAGAAAACAAUAUACUCAAGAAACAAUAAAAAAAAUGCAGAAAUUAAAAAUGAAAUUGGAAGUAGGAAAAAAAUGGAAGGAAGAAAAAUACCCAAAGUUCUAAAUGCAAUAUGAUCAUAACAAACAUGUCUUACUGUGAACAAAUCGAACAAGCUCUAUAACGAAUUUUGUAGUGGGAAUUCCGACUCAUAGAAGCCGACUCCAGGCUUGCACAACGAAUGACCAAUACAAAUAAGAUCCAGUAAAAGAAAGGCCCAACUAAAGUGAAAUUAGAAGACACACACGUCCUAAUAUUAAGGUAGAAGUCAAGGUAAUUUAGAAAAAUUCAUUACCGGACAACUACCUCAAAAUUACCCGAACUUAUAAACUAUACAAUUAUUUUUUCCUGAUGUUCCAAAACACUUGCCAACUGAAAUUUUCUUUUGACAAAUAUGCAAUGGGUUUCUUGAAAUUGAAUGCUCAAUCCAGAAAUUGAAAAUGAAAUUGGAAGUAGAAAAAAAAUGGAAGGAAGAAAAAUACCCCAACAGUUAUAAAUGCAAUGUGAACAUAACAAGUUGUAUCAUCAUGAACAAAUUGAACAAUCCCCAAAACAGAUUUUGCAAUGGGAUUCUGACUCCAACAAAUUGCAUCCAUGUUGACCAAAACUUUCUGAACAAAGGAUUCAGCUUCCCAUCAACAUGCAUCACAAACCUAUAACUUUAAAUUCUUCAAAAACAAUGGAAUUAAAUCAAGGCAGAAAAAAACACAACAAGAAUUCUAACCAACGAUAACAAAAAAAUCCACCUUAACCCUUAAUCAUUGUCGUCCAAUGGGAGGUUCAACAUUGGACAUGAUUAGAACUAUUGGUUCCCAGCCACAAGUUUCGGCAUCGACAAAGAUUCUCCGAGGGAAAUGAAAGAUUUUGGAAAUUGGUAGUGAAGAAAAAUAAGGUUGAAAGAAUUUUGUUUGGGAGUGACAAAAUUGUAAACCGAACCCCAUGUGUUUCAUUUUCUCCUCAUCGGCCAGAAUUUUGUCAACUCCCCAAACAAAAUCCUGGCCGAUGAGGAGAAAAAUGAAACACAUGGGGUUCGGUUUACAAUGAUUUUUCUUAAUGAUUGUUGGAAGAACAAAGAGAUUUAAGGGUAACAAAAAGAAUGGAAGAAUGUUAAAUCCCAAAAGACUAAAUGGCCAAUUGAAUGCUUAAGGAAGUUUGAUUUGCCUGUUUUAGCAGUUUUUUUGCUUUUUUAUGUAAAUGUUGUAGAAAGAGUAGAACAAGGACAUAAUUCACUUUUUUUUCUCUUCACAAAGUAACCAAUGACUUAAAAGAAAGACACUGCACACUAAAUGCCCAUUAGAAAACAAUAUACAUCGAAAAGAAUAAAAAAUAUGCAAAAAUUCAAAAUGAAAGUGCAAGCAGAACAAAACGGACUUGAUUCACCAUGAACAGAUAGAACAAGCUCCAAAACGGAUUUUGAGUAGAAUUUCGUCUCAGAUUUGCAGUCUCCAGGUUUUCCAAAACGUUCCUAAGAAAGAAUCAGCACAACCCACAACUUUAAAUUCUUCAAAAACAAUGAAAUUAACUCAAAGCAGAAAAAAAAAAGACAAAAACUCUAACCAACGAUAACAAAAAAAUAAACCUUAACCUUUGAUCCUUGCAAUCCAUUUGGGGGUUCAGCACUGGACUUGAUCGAGAACAAUCAGCUCCCAGCCGCAGGUUUCUGCAUGGACGAUGAUUUUUCGAGGAGGGAAAUCAAAUUUUUGGAAAUGGGUAGUAAAGAAAAAUAAGGUUGAAAAGAUUUUGUUUGGAGAGUGGGCAAAAUUCUAGCUGGUGAGGAGAAAAGAAAAGACAUGGGGUUCAGAUUCGAGGGAUUUUUCUUAAUGAUUGUUGGAAGAACAAAGAGAUUGUGAGGAGAUUUAAGGGUAUCGCCACGAAUGGCAAAAUGUUAAAUCACAAAAGACUAUUGUUUUCUUGCUUCUUUAUGGAAAUGUUGUAGAAAGAGUAGAACGAUGACAUGGUUCACUUUGUUUUUCUAUUUACAAAAUAACCAUUGACUUAAAAGGAAAGAAUUUGCACCACAAAUGACCAUUAGAAAACAAUAUACAUAAGAAAGAAUAAAAAAUACGCAGAAAUUGAAAAUGAAAUUGAAAGUUGAAAAUAAAUGGAAGGAAGAAAAAUACUCCAAAAGUUCCAAAUGCAUUACGAUCAAGAGAAAUUUGUAUCAACAUGAACUGAUCAAUAAGCUCCAAAAUGAUUUUGCAGUGGGAUUCCGACUCAGAUAAGCAGUCUCCAGUCUUGCCAAAACGUUCCUAACAAAGGAUCAUCACACCCAUAACUUUAAAUUCUUAAAAAACAAUGGAAUUGACUCAAAGCAGAAGAAAACGAAAGAAAAACUCUAACCAACGAUAAGAAGAAAAUAAACCUUCACCCUUGAUCCUUCCAAUCCAUUUGGGGUUCAGCACUGGACAUGAUCGAGAACAAUCAGUUUCCAGCUGCAGUUUAGGCAUGGACGAAUAUCUUCCAAGAAGGGAAACGAAUUUUAGCGAAGUUUGAUCUACCUGUUAGCAGUGUUCUUGUUUUUGUACGGAAAUGUUGUAGAAAGAGUAGAACGAUGAAAUAAAUCACUUUGUUUUUCUCUUUACAAAGUAACCAAUGACUUAAGAAGAAGACAUUGCACAACAAAUGACCAAUAGAAAAUGAUACGCAAUAGAAAAGAAUAAAAAAGAAAACAAUAUGCAUUUUUGUUUUCAAAUUCUUGGUCAAAUCGCAAUUCAGAAAUGAAAUUUGGUUCAUUAUCGACGAUAAUAUGGUGAACUAAAUAACAUAAGUUUCAGAGUCAUGGGAGAAUAAUAGCCUUGCUAAUUGCUCAAACUCUGAAUGUGAAGGCUUUUCCCAUGUGAAGGAACCCAAAGAACCAGCCAAAGCAGCAUGCUUCUUCCCAAUGCAAGAACAUUCAGUGUAUCUUCUGAUUAUGUCCUGAAUGCAGUAGGAAAAAUGAUAUGAAGUUGUAAUUCAAGCUAAGGUUUUGUUGCAUAAACCAAAAACUUAGAUGGAUAAAACACAAAAUGCAUCAUGUUCCUACCUUAUGCCUACUACAUUGCUAACAAUACACUUACUGCACUCUCAGAGAAGGAACCAGAAAUGGUUCUUGAUGAUCUGUUAAAAUCUUUUGAUGAAAAUGUAAUUAGUGCAAAGAGCGUUGAUGAUUCUAAAACAGAGGCACCUCAUGCUAACUCGGAUGUGCAAUGCUUCUCUGAAGAUGAAAAAGUAAAUGAAGUUUCGAAAGAUGAUGAUUUUGUGGAGAUUUCUGCUGAGGAAAUCAAUGAAUCUGACAAAUCUUCUCUGCCUACUGAAGACUUGGAUGUUACUGAAGUUCACAAAUCGAGCAUUGCAGAAGAAUUUGGUAUGGAAUUUGAAUCUCAACAAAAUGAGUCUACCUGUGAAUUGGAACAUAAAAUUGAAGAAGAUGUUGAAGAAGAAAACACACGUGAAUAACUCUGCUGAAGAACUGUCUCUUCCCCACGAAAAUGUGGAAGAAGAAACUGAAGUUGAUGGAGAUGAUGCCUUGAGCAGUGAUGAAGAAUCUUUGGAAGUGAAAGACGAUCAAGAUGAAAAUGAUCAGAUCCCACAACCGGAAAUGUAGCAUCAGAUGCUGACAUUGAAGGAGACAAGAAGGAAACAAAAAUGGAGAAAAGUUCCGUUCAAGCUGAAGAAGAUGAUACAAUUAUCAAUAAGUCCACGGAGGAGUUCCCCGAGAAUGUUUCUGAUGAUUUGGUUGAUGUCAAGAUCCAAUGGAAAAUGGAAGAAGAAACUCUUCCUAAAGACAUAAUUGUCGAAGCUAUCGACUCACAACCAGAAAUCCCAAAUGCCAUUGUUCAAUGUGAGGAAGCUUUGGUGGAAAUCACUAUCACAUCCUCCAACAACAAUGCAGUUCAAUCAUUGGCAAACCAAUUCCCUAGGCCAACAAUAGAAGCCAAAUCUCCCGUUGAAGAACAAACCAUUAGUUUGCUAAUGGACAACCCAGAUGCUGAGGAAGAAGAAGCUGAAAAAGAACAGAACAAAGCAAAGUUCAUUCAGUUAGUGGUGAAGAAUGAUAAUACUAGCCUAAGGCAGCUGAGGAAGUUGUUCAAGGAAAAACUCCAACUUAACCAUAAGAAGAUGGAAAAUAAUAACAUCAACACAAAAGUUGUUGGAGGUGGCGUGAAAGUGAGAACUGCUUUACAACCAGUGCCGGAAAACAGAAUGACCGUGCAUUAAAAGUCUAGAAAGAGAGAGCAUUGUGCAUGGUUCAAACUGUGGUUUGCCUCAUGUUAUUGAUUUUGUGUUUGUUUUAUUCUUUCCAUGAUGUAUUUUGAGAGGAGGGAAAAAUGAGGUAAAUGAUUAUUUGUCUGAAUUUUUGUUCAUCAGUUCAAUAAUAAAAAUGCUAGUAGUUUGUGUUUAAAAAAAACAAUACACUUACUGCAGCACCAAGAUACAGGUUGUAGCCAAAUUUCAGGAAAAAAAUAUAUUCAGAUUUUUGCAUAUCGAGAAUUUGGUGAAACGCACCUUGAGUUUAUUUACUCAACUAAUCCACGAGAAUUUGUGAUAUGAACACUCUUGGCAGAGGUCCAUUGACUCCAUCACCAUCAUCAGCAGCAUUAGAAAUGGAGGGAGGUGAAAACCAAAAUGCUUUCAACUUUUUGGCUGGGAAUGAUAAUUCUUCUUUUUGAGUAUAUCCAAAAUACAGGUAAAAUCUUGCUAAUGAGUCAAUCCCACGCCCAUCCAUCUAGUUCAUCACAGAAUACAAACACAACUUCAACAUUAGUUACAGUAAAGAAUUGAUUGUUGACUCAACCAACAUCAAGCAGCUUUUUUUAUUUAACAAUGUUGACUCAACUUAAUUAGUAUGCAUUGUACAAUAGAAGUAGAAGGCAUUGUACAAAUGAAGUAGAGUACAUUGUACAAAUGAAGUAGAGUACAUUGUACAAAUGAAGUAGAGUACUAUUACAACUUCAACCAUAAUUAUGUUCUACAGCCCAGCAUUAGAAAUUGAAUAAAGAACCUUUGUUCACCUUUACCUAAAAUACUAGCCUUUGUGUCCUCUCCACUUGAUUUCUACUUUGGAAUCAUAUUAUUGUUAAACCAUUUAAUCACCCAAAAGCUUAAGCUGAUGGGUUAAGAUAAAUUUUAUAUUGUAUCACCUAGAAUUCACUUCACUUUUGAACAUAAGGACCUCCUCAACUAUCUACUCACUUUUGAACAUACAACCUUGAUAGAACACAGAUGUGGUGUUUCUAUUAUAUUGAUAUUUGAAACUCAAUGUUACAAUAAAAAGAAAAUUACAUAGAAAUUACAAACAACAAACAAAGAAACCCUCCUACUCCAAAACACAAAUAAACAAAAUUAAAAAUACUACAAUUAAAACCAGAAAAGGAUCAUGAGCCUUCUGCUUCCCCUAUCUCUCAUGGAGUAUUGCAGGCCCUUCCUUUUACUAAAAACUGCCUGCCCUUUCCCAUCUCCCUCUCGUUCAUUUAACUUCCUGUUUUAGAUAACUGUCAUCUUUUUUAAGUAACUAUUGUUGGUUCCUAAAGUGCCUUAUUUUUCUUUCUUCUAUUAUAAGUAAAUAACAAUGGUGGCCUAACAGACCUCCUAAACUAUUCACUCUAGACCAUGUUAAAUCACCAAUUCAUCCAAAAACUUAUGAGGUAAAUGUAAUAUUAUAUCUUCUAACCAUUGUCAACUUAAAUUUGCUUUUGACCAUAAGCAGUGGGUUUGCUGAAAUUGAAUGAUGAAUCCAUAAAAUAAAAAUGAAGUUGAAAGUAGAAAAAAUGGAAGGAAGAAAAAUACCCCAAAAGUUCUAAAAGCAAUAUGAUCAUAACAAAUAAUGGAAGGAAAAAUUUUGGCCGGUGGGGAGAAAAGGGAAGACAUGGGUUCGGUUUACAGGGAUUUUUCUUAAUAAUUGCUGGAAGAACAAAGAGGUUUGUGAGGAGAUUUAAGGGUAACCACAAGAAUGGCAGAAUGUUAAAUCCCAAAAGACUAAAUGGUCAAUCGAAUGUUUUAGGCAGUUUGAUCUUUAGCUGUUUUCUUGCUACUUUAUGGAAAUGUUGUAGAAAGAGUAGAACGAUGACAUAGUUCACUUUGUUUCUCUACGUACAAAAUAACCAUUGACUUAAAUCAAAGACAUUGCACCACAAAUGACCAUUAGAAAACAAUAUAAUAGAAAGUAUAAAAAAUAUGCAGAAAUUGAAAAUGAAAUUGGAAAGAAAAAAAAAUGGAAGGAAGAAAAAUACCCCCAAAGUUCCAAGUGCAAUAUGAUCAUAACCAAUUUGUAUCACCAUGAAAAGAUCGAACAAGCUCCAAAAUGGAUUUUACAGUGCGAUUCCAACUCACAUAAGCAGUCUCUAGGAAUGCCAAACCGUUUCUAAGAAAGGAUCAUCACAACCCAUAACUUUAAAUUCUUCAAAACAAUGCAAUGAAAUCAGAGCAGAAAAAAACAGAACAACUCUAACCAACGAUAACUGCAAAAUAAACCUUAUGGAAAUGUUAUAGAAAGAGUAGAACGAUGACAUGGUUCACUUUGUUUUUCUAUUUACAAAAUAACCAAUGAUUUAAAGGAAAGAAUUUGCACCACAAAUGACCAUUAGAAAGCAAUAUACAUAAAAAAGAAUAAAAAAUACGCAGAAAUUGAAAAUGAAAGUGAAAGUAGAAAACAAACUGAAGGAAGAAAAAUACUCCAAAAGUUACAAAUGCAUUACGAUUCGGAAAAAUUUGUAUCAACAUGAACUGAUCGAAUAAGCUCCAAAAUGGGUUUUGCAGUGGAGAGUGGGAAAAAUUCUCGCCGGUGGGAAGAGAAGGGAAGACAUGGGGUUCAGUUUACACAGAUUUUUCUUAAUGAUUGUUGGAAGAACAAAGAGAUUGUGAGGAGAUUUAAGGGCAACGACAACAAUGACAGAAUGUUAAAUCUCGAAAGACUAAAUGGCCAAAUUGAGUCUUUAAGCCAGUUCGAUCUGCCUGUUAGCUGGUUUCUUGCUUCUUUAUGGAAAUGGGGUAGAAAGAGUAGAAUGAUGAUAUAGUUAACUUUGUUUUUCUCUUUACAAAGUAGCCAAUGACUUAAAAGAAAGACAUUGCACAACUUGUGACCAUUAGAAAAUAAUAUACAUAAGAAAGAAUAAAAAAUAAGCAGAAAUUGAAAAUGAAAUUGGAAGUAGAAAAGAAAUGGAAGAAAAAUACCCCAAAACUUCAAAAUGCAAUAUGAUCAUAACAAAUUUGUAUCAUCAUGAACAGAUCGACCAAACUCCAAAACAGAUUUUGCAGUGGGCUUCCGACUCAAAUAAACAGCCUCCAUGCUCACCAAAACGUUCCUAAGAAAGGAUUCAGCUCCCUACCAACAUGCAUCACAUCCCAUAACUUUAAUUUCUUCAGAAACAACGUAGUUAACUGAAGGUAAAAAAAUCAGAACAAGAACACUAACCAACUUCUUAGGAAUCAGCUCCCUACCUCCGAAUGCGUCGGGUUCGUUCAGGAUCAAAAGUUGCGUAGGGAAAUCUUCACUCUUGGCUGAAGCAACAAUAGCAUGUAGAAAGUAGAAGAGUAAAGCUGGUUAGAUCAGAAUGCAUCGGGUUCCUUCGGUAUCAGAAUUUGCGUAGGAAACUCUUCCCUCUUGGUUGAAGCAACAAUUUCCAAUAGAAAGUAGAAGAGUUAAACCAGUUAGAUAAGAAUGCGUCGGGUUCCUUCAGAAUCAAUACUUGCGUAGGAAACUCUUAACUCUUGGAGGAAGCAAAAAUAACAUGUAGAAACUCAAAAAGUUAAGUCGGUUAGGUCAAAAUGCGUCGAGUUCCUUCGGAAUCAGAAUUUUCGUAAGGAACUCUUCACUCUUGGUCGAAGUAGGAAUAGCCCGUUGGAAAUAGAUGAGUUAACACUUCAAAAAUACUUCCUAUAAAAAGUUAUUAUAUAUAGGGACAAUCUUCCUUUGUGUUUGGACUGCACCCAUGCAUUUAUAGCACAGGAGCAUUCCUUUAGAUCACAUCGUAUCCUUUAGAGAUCGCAGUUUGCUACCUUGAUUUUCAACUUUUGUCGAGCCCUUUAGAGUUAGUUUGGUUUGAAAUAGAGAUUGUUGUCUUAUGCGAUCAAGGUUGUGAAAUAUCUCACUAGAUUUUUUUUAAUGGAACAUUUGAUUAGAGAGUAAGGGUUUUGAGAGGUCUUGGGAGGAGAUUGAGACCAUUGCUGGUUUAAGGCAUUUGUUAGUUAAAAACAUUACUUUAUCCCGUAUAUCUAAGACAAGCCAAGCUUAUUUUCUUCUUAAAACAUACUAUAAUUAGUCAAACAAAAAAAUGUUAAUAGUCAAAUACAUUUUUUAUUUGACAAUUAAUUGUGUUAAUUACAACAAUAACUAUAAAAAUUGGUUAUCAUCCUGUUUUGUUUAAAAAUCAAAUCAAGAGUUUAACUAAAUGGAAUGCACUACAAUGAUGAUUCUGCUAUUAUCAGUAAUACACAAACCUUGCAUAUUGAGUGAUGAGGAUCUCGAAGAUUGACCAGUAGAUUAUCACUUUCAAAAUCAAAGUGCACAAUAUUCUUUCUGUGCAGGUGUUCCAUUCUAAAAGCCGCAUCCAUAGCAAUCAAGAGGCGCUUCCACUUUUCAAGACUCCUGCAUCAAUUGUAUUUAUGCUUAAUCUAAGGGUGAAGAUACAUUAUACUGCAACUAACUUCUAACAAAUUAAAUUAAACGUAUGAAAAAUGAGAACAAUUGUUACUUUUCAUUCUUCAACAAAGCAUUUUUGAGCGAACCAUUGGCCAUAUAUUCUGUUACUGUGGCCACAGAUCUCCCAGGCCCAUCAAGCACGACACCAUAAAAAGUACCACAUUUGGGUGGUGCAAAUCAGCAAACUUAAUUGCUUCAUUCUAAAAAUCUUCUCACUGGUACAAUAUAAAACAACAAAAAGGACUUGAGUCAAGGAACAAAAAGAAAAUACACGAAUAACAAAAGAAAAGAAAAGCCAGUUGCUUAAAAUGAACAACCUUGCGAUCUUGUUUAGAAGGUUUCCCAGCAAAACACCUCUCAUUGAUUCGUUUUAUAGCAACAUCAGUCCCCUCCAUUUUCCAUGGUAAAAAGUGCCAAAGGUGCCGGACCCCAAUUCUCUUAAUUCUUCAAGGUCACUAUUCUUUAUUACCCGAAGGAAAGAAGAAAAAGAAAAAAAAAGAUGUUCGGAUGGACAAUUUAAACAUAAAGUGCAACCUUAAGGUUAAAAAUGGAAAACUAAGUAUUACCUGCAAGCGGCCAAGGCCUUUUGACAUUGGAAAACCAGGAUUUGCUUUACCUAAAAGUCUUGUCCUGCCAUCGUGGGCAAACAUGAAACAAGAAUAAUUAUGGCAAAAAACGUGACAUAUUCCCGUUGAAUAGCCAAAUGAAUGAUGUGUAUGUUGCAUCUUGUUUUGGAGAAUGUUCAGCAUUGUAUUGGUGUCUUAUUUACACUUUGUAUAAAUCAGUCAGAUGUCUUGAAUGGUGCUUUUGCAUUGCUUUGUUUGCAUUCCACUCUCAGAUAAUGGAAGACAAUAAAAAUAAUCCUCUUGUUUUACUUGUGUUUUAGUAUGCUUCCUUUUAUCCAUUGUUUGGAACUUUCCUUCAAAUGGUUGAGCUUCUGGUGUCAAAGUACCAUCACAUUUGUUGUAAUUUAUUGAGCUCUUUAGUUAUUUUAUUACUCUAGUUGAAUGGCAUAACUUUCGUUUAAAUAUACAUUCAAAUCUAAUCUUACUUUAACCACUAGUAUAUGUAUGUAUACGUGUAAACAAAAUCUUGUAAUAUUGUGUUAUCUUAUUAACUAUGUUGUGAAGUUUAUGUAACAUUUCACUUGAUUGUACUUUUUUUUAAAAUAGGACAUUUUUUUCAUAAUUUUUCAAACACAACUAAUAUCUACUUGGACUCCUUGUACUCCUUGUAAAUGGAGUGUAUUCUUGAUUAACUUAAACACUUAAAUUUUUUUACCACACAUAUCAAUUACUAAAAUUUCAUAAUAUCAAAAUUCAACAUAUCCAUAAGUUAAAAAACAUAUUUUGUAAUAAUACUCGAAAUUUGGGAUGGGUAGUCUGGGUUGUUAGUGUUGUCAGUGUUAGAAUACCCCUAGUGGUUUGUGUCAAAAAAGUCUCCUUUUAAAAGUUGAAAGAUGCCCUUAAACUUUCGAAAACGGUUCAAAAAUACCAUUGUCUUUGGUUUUAGAUGAAAGUCGCUAAAGUUUUGUUUAAAAAAUAAUCAUCAACUAUUGAAAAGUUCUGUUUAAAAAAUAUUGAUGAAUUAUUGAAAGUUCCAUAAAUAUCCUUUUAAGCUUAAAAAAAUUCAAAAAAUGUUCAUCAUCCAAUUCAUACACCUAUUUCUUUACACUUAUAAUAAAAAGCCCAUAGAAAGUAGAGAACUUUUCACUCUUGCCUGAAGCUACAAUAGCCCGUAGAAAGUAGGAGAGUUAAGCUUGUUAGGUUAGAAUGCGUCGGGUUCGUUUGGGAUCAAAACUUGCAUCAGAACUCUUCACUCACGGUCGAAGCUACAAUAGCUGGUAGAAAGUAGGAGAGGUAAGCCUAUUAAGUCAUAAUGCAUUGGGUUCUUUCAGGAUCAAACUUUCGUAGGAAACUCUUCACUCUCCGAAGCCACAAUAACUUGUAGAAAGUAGGAAAGAUAAGUUGGUCAGGUCAAAAUGCGUCGGGUUCCUUCCGUAGUAUUUGCGUAGGGAACUCUUCACUCUUGGUGAAAGCAACAAUUUCCUGUAGAAAGAAGGUGAGUUGAAGCGAUUAGAUCAUAAUGCGAUGGUUCCUUCGGGAUCAAUACUUGCGUAGGGAACUCUUAACUCUUGGUGGAAGCAAAAAUAGCCCGUAGAAAGUCGAAGAUUUAAGCCAAUUAGUUUAGAAUGUGUCGAGUUCCUUCGGGUUCAAAAUUUUCGUAGGGAACUCUUCACUCUUGGUCGAAGCAACAAUGGCCGGUUGAAAGUAGAAGAGUUAAGCCAGUUAGGUCAGAAUGCAUGUUUGGUUCUUUAGAUAUCCGAACUUGCACAGGGAAAUCUUCACUCAUGGUCGAAGCAACAAUAACCUGUAGAAAGUAGGAGAGUUAAGCUGGUUAGGUCAGAAUGUGUCGGCUUUCUUUGGGAUCAGAACUUGUGUCGGGAACUCUUCACUCUCGAUUGAAGCCACAAUAGCUCGUAGAAAGUAGGAGAAUUAAGCCGGUUAGGUUAAAAUGCAUCGGGUUCUUUGGGAUCAUAACUUCUUCGACAACUCUUCACUCUCGGCCGAAGCCACAAUAGCCCGUAGAAAGUACGGGAGUUAAGCCAUUUAUGUUAGAAUGCAUCGGGUUCCUCGAGAAUCAGAACUUGCGUAGGAAACUCUUAACUCUUAGUCAAAGCAACAAUAACGCAUAGAAAGUCGGGAGUUAAGCCGGUUAGGUCGGUAUGCAUCGGUUUCUUCGGAAUCAAAAUUUGCUUAGGGAACUCUUCACUUUUGGCUGAAGCAACAAUAGCCCGUAGAAAGUAGGAGAGUUAAGCUGGUUAGGUCGGAAUGCGUCGGGUUCACUUCGUAUCAAAAUUUUCGUAGGGAACUCUUCCCUCCUGGCCAAAGAAUAAUUUAUAGAAAGUAGGAGAGUUAAAGCGGUUAGAUCAGAAUGUGUCGGGUUCCUUCGGGAUCCAUACUUGCGUAAGGAACCCUUAACUCUUGGCUGAAGCAAAAAGAGCCUGUACAAAGUCGGAUAGUUAAGCCAAUUAGGUCAGAAAUGCGUCGAUUUCCUUCAGGAUCAAAAUUUUCGUAGGGAACUCUUCACUCUUGGUUGAAGCUUCAAUAACCCGUUGGAAGUAAAAGAGUUAAGCCAGUUAGGUGAGAAUGCGUUUAGAUCUUUCAAUAUAAGAACUUGCGUAGGGAAAUCUUCACUUAUGGUCGACGCAACAAUAGCCCGUAGGAAGUAGGAGAAUUAACUCGGAUAGGUCAGACUGCAUCGAGUUCCUUUGGGAUCAGAACUUGUGUCAGGAACUCUUCACUCUCAGUUGAAGCCACAUAGCCCAUAGAAAGUAGGAGAGUUAAGCCGAAUAUGUUAAAAUGCAUCGGGUUCCUUCCUGACCAGAAAUUUCAUGGAACUUUCACUCUCGGCUAAAGCCACAAUAGCCUGUAGAAAGUAGGAGAGUUAAGCCAGUUAGGUCAAAAUGCAUUUGGUUCCUUCGAUAUAGAACUUGCAUAGGGAACUCUUAACUCUUGGUCGAAGCAACAAUAGCCCAUAAAAAGGUUGAGAGUUAAGCGGUUAGGUCGGAAUGCGUCGGGUUCCUUCAGGAUCAAAAUUUGCGUAGGGAAUGCUUUCUUGGCCGAAGCAACAAUAACUUGUAGAAAGUAGGAGAGUUAAGCUGGUUAGGUCAAAAUGUGUCAGGUUCCUUCAAUAUCAGAAUUUCCAUAGGGAACUCUUCCCUCUUGGCCGAAGCAAUACUAUAGAAAGUAGGAGAGUUAAAGUGGUUAAAUCAUAAUUCAUUGGGUUCCAUCGGGACCAAUACUUUCGUAGGGAACUCUUAACUCUUGGUGGAAGCAAAAAUAGCCUGUAGAAAGUAAGAGAAUUAAGACGGUUAGGUCAGAAUGCAUCGAGUUCCUUUGAAAUCAGAAUUUUCGUAGGGAACUCUUUACUAUUGGCCGAAGCAACAAUAGCUCGUUGGAAGUAGAAAAGUUAAGCCAGUUGGGUCAGAAUGCAUUUGGUUCUUUCGAUAUCAGAACUUGCAUAGGAAAAUCUUCACUCAUGGUGAAAGCAAUAAUAGCUCGUAGAAAGUAAUAGAGUUAAGCUGGUUAGGUUAGAAUGCAUCGAGUUCCUUUGGUAUCAUAACUUGUGUCAGGAACUCUUCCCUCUUAGCUGAAGCCACAAUAGCCCAUAGAAAGUAUGAGAGCUAAGCAAAAUAGGUUAAAAUGCGUCGGGUUCCUUCAGAUCAGAACUUGUGUUGGGAACUUUUCACUCUCGUUGAAGCCACAAUAGACCAUAGAAAGUAGGAGAGUUAAGCCGAAUAGGUUAAAAUGCAUCUAGUUCCCUCGAGAUCAGUAUUUCAUCAACAACUCUUCACUCUCGACUAAACCCACAAUAGCCCGUAGAAAGUAGGAGAGUUAAAUCGGUUAGUCAGAAUGGUCGGGUUCCUUUAGGAUCAGAACUUGCUUAGAGAACUCUUCACUCUUGGUCGAAGCCACAAUAGCCCGUAGAAAGUAGGGGAGUUAAGACGGUUGGGUCAGAAUGCAUCGGGUUCCUUCAGAAUAAGAACUUGCAUAUAGAACUCUUAACUCUUGGUCGACAGCAACAAUAGGUCGUUGAAGAGAGAGUAAGUUAAGCUAGUUCGGUCAAAUGCAUUCGUUCUUUCGAUAUUAGAACUUGCGUAGGAAAAUCUUCACUCUGUCGAAGCAACAAUAGCCCAUAAAAAGUAGAAGAGUUAAGCAUAUUAGGUCAGAAUGUAUAGAGUUCCUUUGAGAUCAGAACUUGUGUCCGGAACUCUUCACUCACGGCCGAAGCCACAAUAGCCAUAAAAAGUAAGAGAGUUAAGCCGAUCAGGUUAGAAUGCGUCUGGUUCCUUCGUGAUCAGAACUUGUUGGUGAACUCUUCACUCUCGACCAAGCAACAAUAGCCUGUAGAAUGUAGGAGAAUUAAGUCGGAUAGCUCAGAGUGCGUAGGGUUCCGUCCGGAUCAAAACUUUCAUAAUGAAAUCUUCACUUAUGGUCGAAGCAACAAUAACAUGUAGAAAGUAGGAGAGUUAAGCCGAUUAGGUUAGAAUGCGUCGAGUUGCUUUGGGAUUAGAACUUGUGUGAGGAACUCUUCACUCUCGGCCGAAGCCACAAUAGCCCGUAGAAAGUAAAAGAGUUAAGCUGGUUUGAUUAAAAUGAAUCGGGUUCUUUUAGAAUCAGAACUUGUUCGUGAACUCUUCACUCUCGGCUGAACCUACAGUAGCCCGUAAAAUGUAGGAGAGUUAAGCCGAAAAGCUCAAAGUGUGUCAGGUUCCUUCCGAAUCAGAACUUUUAUCGGGAACUCUUCACUCUCGGCUAAAGCCACAAUACCCCAUAGAAAGUACGAGAGUUAAGUCGGUUAGGCAAAAAUGCAUCGGGUUCCUUCGUGAUCAAAACUAGCGUAGAGAACUUUUCACUCUUUGGUCGAAGCCAUAAUAACCCGUAGCAUGUAGGAGAGUUAAGCUGGUUAGUUCAGAAUGUGUUGGGUUCCUUCGAGAUCAGAACUUGUGUGGAGAACUCUUCAAUCUUUGUCGAAGCCAUAAUAACCCAUAGAAAGUAGGAGAGUUAAAUCGAUUAGGUCAGAGUGCAUCGGGUUCCUUCGAGACAUGAACGUGCAUUAGGUACUCUUCACUCUUGGAUGAAGCAAUAACAGCCCAUAGAAAGUUAGAGAGAUAAGUUGAUUAGGUCGCAAUGCAUCGGGUUCCUACGGGAUCAAAACUUGCGUAGGGAACUUUUCACUUUUGGUUGUAGUAACUAUAGCCGGUAGAAAGUAGGAGAGUUAAGCGGGUUAGGUCAAAAUCCAUCGGGUUCCUUUGAGUUCAGAACUUGCGUAAAGAACUUUUCACUUCGCCGAAGCCACAAUAGGCCGUAGAAAGUAGGAAAGUCAAGCCGGUUAGGUCAGAAUGCAUCGGGUUCCUAAAUUGCAUAAGGAACUCUUCACUCUUGGUUGAAGCAACAAUAGCCUGUAGAAAGUUGGAUAGUUAAGCUAGUUAGGUCAGAAUACGUCAGGUUCCUUCAGAAUCAAAGCUUGCGUAGAGAACUCUUCACUCUUGGCUGAAGCAACAAUAACCGGUAGAAAGUAGGAGAGUUAAGCUGGUUAGGUUGGAAUGUAUCAAGUUCUUUACGUAUCAGAAUUCACAUAGGGAACUUUUUACUCUUGGCCAAAGCAUCAAUUUCUGUAGAAAGUAGGAGAGUUAAAGUGGUUAGGUCAGAAUGCGUCGGGUUCCUUCGGGAUCGAUAGUUGUAUAGGUAACUCUUCACUCUUGGCCGAAGCAACAAUAGCUAGUUGAAAGUAGAAGAGUUAAGCCAAUUAGGUCAGAAUGCGUUGGGUUCCUUCGAUAUCAGAACUUGCGUAGGAAAAUAUUCACUCACGGCCGAAGCAACAAUAGCCUGUAGAAUGUAGGAGAGUUAAGCCGAUUAGGUCAAAAUUCGUUGGGUUCUACGGUAUUCAACUUUUCCUUCCUUACACUUCUUUUUUUCUUGUUCAUUUUAUUGAUAUAAUUUUUACCACAACUCAUCAGAUAGGAAUUGAUAACCAUUUUCUUUUUUAGAACUGUUUUCUUUUUAUUUUAAAAAUUAAACAUAUAUACAAUGCUUGCACUUUUAAGAUUAGUGGCGAUUUAAGAAGAAUGAUGAUGGUUCAUUCGUGACUUUCAUUUGUGGUUCUAGGCCUCUAAAAUUUUUUUCAAUUACAAUACUAUGACGUCAAAUAACUGUCGCGAAAAGUAUUAUCCGAAAAGUUUCGCCUUUUCCCGCGUUUUUUUUUCCUUUUGUGAUAAUUUUUUUUCCUCCCUCCAUUUUGUGAUAUAAACAACUGUCGUAGUAGAUAAUUUUUGUUGUAGUGUUACUACAUUUGGAACUUGACAAAAACCUGUUUGCUAGAUGAUCCCUUAUAUGACUCAAUUUCUUUUUCCUAGUGUUUUUAUUCACUUAUAAAGUCAUUUCAAACACAAUACUAUACAUUUGAUUUGUGAACUUUAGUCACUAUGGUUUCUUUACCUAUGCAUUGCCAAAUCAAGCACUAUACCAUAAAACUUCUAGGACUAACUUAUGAAUUGAUCAAUUAAAAUGACAUGAUUUGCACUAUAGACGCCUUUUGCACACCACUUAGGUUGGUUUAGCACUAUAGUUCUUGUCUUAUUUACCAUUUUUGGUCGUUAAUUCCUUCUUUGUUUUUCAAUUUUUGGUAGUUUAUGAGUUAAGAAAGCUCACACUUAAGCAUUGUUUGAUAGUCUUUACAGCCUAAGCACCUCUUGGACACUACAUAGGUUGGUUGGCACUAUAGUUGAUGCACUUGCACACUUGGUUUCCAUUUAAGGUCCUUAAGUCCUUUUUGGUCACUUUUUGGUAGGUUAUGUGUUGGAAAUUGAUAAGAAACCCCUAGGCAUUGGAUCUAAGAAUCAUGUUAAACAACAAGACUCAAAGAACACAACCCCACUAGCCGCAAAACCAAUUUGAUUUCAACCCCUAAGAUAGGCUACAUACAAAUUGCUUAGAUGAUCUAAGAAACCAAGGAUCGAACAAAAUUAGAAACUCCCAUCAAUCCUUAAUCUUCAAAACACUCCACAAGUAAGGUAGAUCAAUUCUCACUUGAAUGCUUCAAAUGUUUGUGCAUUCUAUCACAACAGACAAGAACAAAAUUCUACAUUCUAGAAUUUUCAGAUUUCUUUCAUCCCAAAUUCUUCUUUUUAAAUGUGGAAAAAUUACAACCCUAUUUAUACUAAUUAAAAUAUGAAAUGAAAGGUCAAAACAUUUAAUUUGAUAACCUUUCAACUAACAUAAUAACUAAAAACACAUAAACAUUAUUUCUUAAACAUUUAAAUUUAUGACUUUUGAGUUGCCCAAAAUAACUCUUCAACUUCCAAGCAUUGCAUCUACUCAACUUCUUCAUUUGAUUCAAUCAUGAUUUCUUGAUCCAUAUCAGGAAUGCUCACAGUUAAACAUUCUUGGUUUGUCUUUAAACCUUAGGCACCUUUUGGACACUACUUGGGUUGGUCUGGCACUAUAGUUGUUGCUUUUGUGCACUUAUUUUCAUUUUGGGUCGUUAAGUCCUUUUUUCUGACAUUUUGGUAGAUUUUGAGUUGAGAAAGCUCACACUUAAGCAUUCUUUGGUUGUGUUUAUAUAAUAGGCACGUUUUUUAAACUACUUAGGUUUGUUUGGCACUAUAAUUAUUGCACAUGCGCACUUGGUUGCCAUUUCGGGUCGUUAAGUUAUUUUUUCAGAUAUUUUGGUAGGAUAUGAGUCGACAAAGCUCACACUUACAAGUUCUUGGGUUGCAUUUACAGCUUAGGCACUUUUUGGACACUACUUAGGUAUGUUUCGCACUAUAGUUGUUUCACUUAGGCACUUGGUUGCCAAUUGGGGUCGUUAAGUCUUUUUUUUUUUACAUUUUUGUUUGUUAUGAGUCGAGAAAGCUCACACUUAAAUAUUAUUUGGUUGCGUUUAUAGCUUACGCAACUUUUGGAUACUACUUAGGUAUGUUUGACAUUUUAUUUGUUGCUCUUGGGCACAUGCUUGCCAUUUCGAGUCGUUAAAUCAUUUUUUCUGACUUAUCGGUAGGUUAUGAGUCGGGAAAGCUCACACUUAAGCAUUCUUUGGUUGUCUUUAAACCUUAGUCACCUUUUAGACACUAAUUAGGUUGUUUUAACAGCAUAUUUGUUUAACUUACGCACUUGGUUGAAAUUUUUGUUCAUCAAGUCCUUUUUUGUGAUUUUUUGGUAGCUUAUGAGUUAAGAAAGCUCACACUUAAGCAUUCAAUGGUUGCCUUUACAACUUAACACCGUUUGGAUAGUAGUUAGGUUGGUUUGACACUAUAGUUAUUGAAUUUGGGCACUUGGUUGCCAUUUCGGGUUGUUAAGUCAUUUUUUUCUCAUUUUUUCGUAGCUUAUGAGUUGGAAAAGCUCACAGUUAAGCAUUGUUUGGUUGAUUUUAAGCCUUAUGCACCUUUUGGACACUAGUUAGGUUAGUUUGGCACUAUAUUUGUUGCACUUGGUUGCAAUUCGAGUCGUUAAGUCCUUUUUUCUAACAUUUUGGUAGGUUAUAAGUAGAGAAAGUUCACACUGAAGCAUUCUUUGAUUGCAUUUACAACGUAGGCACCUUUUGGACACUACCUAGGUUGGUUUGGCAUUAUAGCUGUUGCACUUGGACACUUGAUUUCCACUUCAGGUCGUUAAGUCCUUUUUCUCACAUUUUUUAAAGUUAUGAUUUGGAAAAUCUCACACUUAAGCAUUUUUUUUGCUGUCUUUAAACCUUAGGAACCUUUUGGACAUUAAUAAGGUUUCUUUGGCACCAUAGUUGUUGCACUUUGGCACUUGGUUGCAAUUUCGGGUUGUUAAGUCCUUUUUUCUAACUUUUGUUAGGUUAUGAGUCGGGAAAGCUAACACUUAAGCAUUCUUUUGUUUCCUUUACAGCUUACGCACCUUGGUUUGGCACUAUAGUUGUUGUACCUUGGCAUUUGGUUGUCAUUCCGGGUUGUUAAAUUCUUUUUUCUAACUUUUUAGUUGGUUAUGAGUCUAGAAAGCUCACAUUUAAGCAUUCUUUGGUUUUCUUUAAAGCUUAGGCACCUUUUGGACACUACUUAGGUUUAUUUGGCACUAUAGUAGUUGCAUUUGGGCACUUGGUUGCGAUUUUAGGUUGUUCAGACCUUUUUUUCUCACUUUUUGGUAGCUUAUGCAUUGGAAAAGCUCACAGUUAAGCAUCGUUUGGUUGUCUUUAAAUCUUAGGCACAUUUUGGACACUAGUUAGGUUUGUUUGGCACUAUAGUGUUGCAUCUGGACACUUGGAUGCAAUUUGUGUCGUUAAGUCCUUUUUUCUAAUAUUUGAGUAGGUUAUGAGUAGAGAAAGCUAACACUUAAACAUUCUUUGUGUUGGAAUUUAUGUCCUAAAACAGAACAAGAAUUCUAACCAACGAUAACAAAAAAAUCCACCUUAACCCUUGAUCCAUGCCGUCCAUUGGGAGGUACAGCACUGGACAUGAUUGAGAACUAUCGGUUCCCAGCCGCAAGUUUCGACAUCGACAAAGAUUUUCCAAGGGAAAUGAAAAUUUUGGAAAUGGGUAGUGAAGAAAAAUAAGGUUGAAAGGAUUUGUUUGGAGAGUGGACAAAAUUAUGACCGAUGUGGAGAAAAGGGAACAUGAUUCUACAGGGAUUUUUUUAAGGAUUGUUGGAAUAACAAAGAGAUUGUGAGGAGAUUUAAGGGCAACGACAAGAAUGGCAGAAUGUUAAAUCCCAAAAGACUAAAUGGCCAAUUGAAUGUUUAAGUAGAUUGAUUUGCCUGUUAGCUGUUUUCUUGCUUCUUUACGGAAAUGGGGUAGAAAGAGUAGAACGAUGACAUAGUUCACUUUGUUUUUCUCUUUACAAAGUAGCCAAUGACUUAAAAGAAAGACAUUGCACAACAAGACCAUUAGAAAAUAAUAUACGUAAGAAAGAAUACAACGUAAGCAGAAAAGAAAUGGAAGAAAAAUACCCAAAACUUCAAAAUGCAAUAUGAUCAUAACAAAUUUGUAUCAUCAUGGACAGAUCGAACAAACUCCAAAACAGAUUUUGCAGUGGGCUUCCGACUCAAAUAAACAGCCUCCAUGCUUGCCAAAUUCCUAAAGGCAGCGCAAUUAAGCAGUAACCAUCAAUUCAAAACAACAGGAAAGACAGAAAGAGUUGCAAUGCGUUAGUUUACUGUUUCAGAUCGCUUUAGAAGGGGACCCUGCAACAAAUUCCGACCAGACCCAGAGGCCAGCUGCCGCUUGAUCUUCUCCAAACUGUCCCCGGCAUCUUCCGCUCUCUCCACCAACAACAAUCAUAAAUUAAAAACAUGUUGAGCCAACAAAGAUACACACCAGCAAACUUUUGAACAUAGGACCCUCCUAAACUACUCACUUUUGAACAUAGGACUUCCCCAACUAUCUACUCACUUCUGAACAUACAACCUUGAUAGAACACUUAUGUACUGUUUCUAUUAUAUUGAUAUUUGAGACUUAAAGUUGCAAUAGAAAGAAAAUUACAGAGAAAUUACAAACAACAAGCAAAGAAACCCUCCUAAUCCAAAACAGAAAUAAACACAAUUCAAAAUACUACAAUUAAAACCAGAACAAUUCUGGCAGGCCCUUCCUUUUACUAAAAACUGCCUGCCCUUUCCCAUCUCCCUCUCAUCCAUUUAACUUCCUGUUUUAGAUAACUGUCAUCCUUUUGAAUAAGUAACUGUGUUGAUUACUAACGUGCCUUACUUUCCUUUCUUCUAUUAUAAGUAAAAUAACAAUGGUGGUCUAACAGACCUCCUAAACUAUCCACUCUAGAGCAUGUUAAAUCACCAAUUCAUCCAAAAACUAAUGACGUAAAUGUAAUAUUAUAUCUUCAACGUAAAUGUAAAUGUAAACUAAUGACACUACAAGUGAUUUUGAAACUAAGACAUUGAAGCAGUCUGUUAGGAAGGGUGAUGGAACCAGCAAGAGUGGGGGAGUUCUUUAAAACAAUCAGAGGUCAAGAGAAAGAAGGGAUCAGCUAAAUCUAUUUCUGGAAAAAACGUGAAAAGAUUGUCAGGUGAUGAUGAUAAAAAGGAAACCACACCUGUGCUGAAACCAGCCUCCAAAAAUUGGAAGUAAAUCAAAGGAUCAAGGCACUCUUGAAAUUGGAAGUAAACUUGGUAGCACAGGGAAUACGUGGGGUUCGGCUUACAGGAUUUUUCUUAAUGAUUGUUGGAAGAACAAAGAGAUUGUGAGGAGAUUUAAGGGUAACGACACAAAUGCAGAAUGUUAAAUCCAAAAAGGCAAAAUGGCCAAUUGAAUAUUUAAGGAAGUUUGAUCUGCCUGCUAGCUGUUUUCUUGCUUCUUUAUGGAAAUGUGUAAGACCUCCAAUUAUUCAUACAUAUCAAAGGAGGGGCAGAAAAGUAAUUGGACAAAUUAAUAAUGAGGAAGGAAAAAGAGGAGGAGAUCGUGCAGGUGGGGCCCAGGCACAGAAAUAAGAGAAAGAUGAGAGAAGGAAUAUAAAUAGGUUUUUUAGGUCUAGGGGAGGUAGGUUUUAUUUUUAUCCUGAAGUUGGCGGCUGCUUAGCCUAGAGGAAUAUCCAGUCUUUCCCUAGAGGAAGCUGGGUUGGUCUUCAUUAUUCCUUGUUUUUCUUGAAUCUUUAUGUUUUUCUGUACUCAUUUUGGCUAUAUAUAAAUAAAGAUAGCAGAGGGCUACCUCUGUUUUUGGCCAUUGUAAGGGAGAAAUAGUGAAGUAAGCAAGUUGAAUCCUUACAUAUUGGUAUCAGAGCCUCCACACUGGGGUGAUCACGCGUCUGAUGGCUCAAAGACAGAUAGAAGAACGGGUAGAAGGUACUGAAAAGGAAAUUAUGAGUCUGAAGGAGAUGAUGCUGGAAAUGAAGAAAUCGAUGGAUCGAAUGACAGACGAGCUAAGAGAAAACCAUGGUGCUAAGAAAAAAGAAGAAGCAGGGACUACGGACGACAUCAGGUUGAAACUGAAGGGAAAACUGGAAGAGGCCGGAACCACAGUCGUCGGGUGGAAGCAGCGCAACCGAAGUAAGUACAAAAAAUUAGAAAUGCCACUGUUUACAGGGUGAACCCUGAAUCCUGGGCGUACCGAGCAGAACAUUUUUUGAUAUAAAUGACUUACCGGAAGCUGAGAAGGUCAAAGUAGCAGUCGUGAGUUUUGGACAGGAAGAGGUAGACUGGUUUAGAUGGAGUAAUCGUAGAAAGAGGGUGGAAUCUUGGGAGGACUUGAAGGAAAGGAUGUUUGAUUUCUUUAAUGAUACAGGACAGCAGAGCUUGGGGGCAAGAUUAAUCCGUAUUAAGCAAGAAGGCUCAUACAGCGAGUACGUUAAGAAGUUUGUUACAUACUGAGCCCCCCUCCCGGACAUGGCAGAAGUGUUCUGCUGGAUGCGUUUUUAACGGGUCUGGAACCCUCACUGCAAGCGGAAGUAAUCAGCAGACACCCUCAAACUUUAGAGGAAUGUAUGAAGGAAGCUCAGCUGGUGAAUGAUAGGAAUAUAGCAUUAAAACUGGCGAUGGAAGAGUUGGAUAUAGUUGAGCCCAAAAGGAAUGAGAACAGCAGCAAAUUUCAAGGAAAAAAUGAGAAGACAGAAAGUAAAAAGACAGAGUUUGUGAUGAAGCAGGUAACUAUUCCAUUGAAAAAUGAUUACCAGAAAAAGAUCCCCCAAUUAAACGGCUGUCGGAUACGGAAUUUAGAGCAAGGCUGGAUAAGGGGCUUUGUUUCAGAUGUAAUGAAAAGUACGCCCCAGGCCAUCGAUGUAAAGGGAGAGAAAAAAGAGAGUUGAUGCUCCUUAUACUAAAUGAGGAAGAAGACCACAAAAGGGAAGAGGAUACAGAGGAUGAGGCAAGCGAAGUAAUAGAACUGAAUCAUCUGGAAUUGAAUAUGGAUAACCCUAUUGAAUUGAGGUUGAUCACGGGAGUUACAUCAAAAGGGACGAUGAAAUUAAAAGGACAUGUGAACGGAAGGGAAGUAGUUAUUCUGAUUGACAGCGGGGCGACCAAUAACUUCAUCAGCCAAGUGUUGGUAGAUGAACUACAGCUGAGCAUCGAUCCGGGAACUCGUUUUGGAGUUACCAUUGGAAUGGCAACCAAUGUGAAGGAAGUGGGAUUUGCAAGAGGGUGAAGGUGAAGUUAAAAGAGUUAACAAUCGUAGCAGAUUUCCUAGCGGUAGAGUUAGGAACGGUAGACUUGGUGCUUGGGAUGCAAUGGCUAGAUUCGACAGGAACCAUGAAGGUUCACUGGCCAUCCCUAACCAUGACGUUUUGGAUGAAGGGUAGAAGAAUAAUCCUAAAAGGUGACCCUUCUCUAACGAAGUCAGAAUGUUCAUUGAGAACCUUCGAGAAAACGUGGCAAUCCGGGGACCAAGGAUUCCUCUUGGAAUUCGAAAAACUAUGAAGUAAACUAUGAAGGAGAAUCGGAAACAGAAGCUGAAUUGAAGGGAAAGGAAGAAGGAUUACCCAUGGUUCAGCGAUUGCUCGAGCAAUAUGCAGAUGUCUUUAGGUUGCCCACGGGUUUACCGCCAAGGAGAGCCAUAGACCAUCGCAUUCUGACCGUGGCCGAUCAGAAACCAAUUAAUGUAAGACCAUAUAAGUAUGGCCAUGUACAAAAGGAAGAGAUUGAAAAAUUGGUGUUAGAAAUGUGAUAGAACACUGAUAUAGUGUUUCUAUUUAUUGAUAUUUGCAACGGAAUUACAAUCUCAAAGCAGUAAAAGAAAAUAUAAAGAACCCUAACCCUUGCCCUUCCUCUCUUUCAAGGAAUAUUGCAGCCUUAAUUCUUCACCCUUCUCCCUCCCAACAAACUCCUAUUUAUAUUCCAUACCCAACUCCUAUUUAUACUCUAACUAACUUCUCUCUCCAUAACAAACUCCUACUUAUGCUCUAUUAUUUUAUUAUGGAGCAUCUACUAACAAUAUUAAAACUAAGGCUAUUCUCCUAGCACGUGCGGUUAACCUCUUCUUUUUCCUUCUACUGUAUUGUGUAUAAUUGGGGGUCUAUCAUUACAUUCCCUUUCCAAAUGCACCUUGUCCUCAAGGUAAAAAUCGGAAAUUUCUUCUGAAAGUCUUCAUACUCCUCAAUAACUGGAAUGGAAACUUAUCGGGUAUAGUCACGUUGUUUAAGACUCUAUAAUCCACGCAGAAUCUCCAGCUUCCAUCCUUCUUCCGUACUAACAGAACCAGGCUGGAAUAUGGCUAUUACUUGGGCGAAUAACUCCUGAACUCAGCAUCUCUUCCACCAAUCUCUCCAUCUCCGCCUUUUGUUGGUAUCCAUAGCGAUACGGCCUCACAUUUACCGGGUCAGUUCCUUGUUUCAAAUAGAUAUGAUGCUCAAUACUCUUCGUGGAGGUAGAGUCUCCGGCCAUGUAAAAACAUCUUCGAAUUUCUUCAGGACAACUGAAACUGCCUCGUCCACCGUUAGUAUUUCCUCAAUUCCAUUAUCUUCUGAGGGCUCGUACAUUGUCUCCAUUGUUCGGCACUCAAUUAAGAAUCCUUGUCAGAAUCCUUCCAUGACUUAAUCAUAUUCUUGAGGCCAACCAUGGCUUUGGUUAAGCUGGGGUCUCUUUUGAUUUUCACUUUCUUCCGUUGUGUAGAAAAGUCAUGGUCAAGUUUUUCCAAUCCACUUCCGUCACGCACAGCAAUGAAUACAACCACUGCAUUCCUAGUACUCCAUCUACUCCUCCAACUCAAGUGGUAAGAAGUUCGCUUCCACUUUCCAUCCCUCCAGUUCUAGCUCGAUGCCUUCACAAAUUCCUUUCCCCUUCACCGCUGCACCCGAGCCCAAAAUCACUCCAUAGUGUGAGGUAGUCUUCGUCGGUAAACUCAGUUCCUGCACCACCUUGUCCGAGAUGAAGUUAUGGGUUGCUCCACAAUCUAUUAGGAUAAUUACUUCUCUAUCCUUAAUCUUUCCUCUCACCUUCAUCGUUCCGGGAUUCGUCAGCCCCACCACUGAAUUUAUGGAAAGUUCAACGAUAGCCUGAUCUUCUGGAUUUAUCUCGACACAGUUCAAUUCUGUCUCAUCCCAUUCCGCUUCCUCCACAAUUUCAUAUUCCUCAUCCUCCUUUACCACAUACAUUCUUAGUUCCCUUUGCUCCCUUCCUCUACAUCGAUGUCCAUGAAAAUACUUUUCAUUACAGCGAAAGCAAAGUCCCUUCUCUUUUCGGGCUUGAAAUUCUGCAUCCGGUAGUCUCUUCGUCGGGCCUUCUUUCUUAAAUUCACCAGCCGUUGUUCUUAAUGUCACCGUCCUCAUUGGAAAUAUGGUAUUUCCCUGGUUCUCACUGUUAUUCAUCGCUGCACUACUCUUGAUGAUUGAAGAGUUUGGAGGGGGGUAUUUACCCGUGGCAUAACCGUUUAGGUUCGCCUCCUUGCGAAGGAUCUCCCGGUUCUCCACGAGUUGAGCUGCGUGCAUCAUCUCGGCCAAACCAACCGAUUUACAAAAAACUACCUCAGCUUUGAUCCACGGAAACAGUCCAUUCAUAAACGUCUCCUCUACCACACGAUCUUGCAAGUCAGCGAGUGGUGCCAUCAACCUAUCGAACUCAUUGCGAUAUUCUUCCACUGUGGUCUGCUGUUUAAUCCUUAAGAAUUGCCCACAGAUGGAUCCUUCUCUCGACGAUCGAAACCGCACCAGAAAUCUCUCCUUAAGAUUGUGCCAUCCUGUAAACUUAUCGCGUUCUUCUGUGCUCGUACCAGUUAACGCUGGCCUUCAAAACUGAUGGUCGCCACCAAAACUUCUCUGCAUCACUCAGUUUGUGAAUUUGGAAGUACCGGUCGGCGCGGAACAACCACGAAUCCGGAUCCUCGCGCAUUGAAUACUGGCAUUUCGACCUUCUUAAAUUUGUCUCUCUCAUUCGCACCCUCUUCGUCCUCAGUCCUCCUCUCCUUUGUUUCAUUCUCACCUCUCCUACUUGUCGAACUUUCUCCUUCAUUCUUUUUCUGCAUCCAGUUUCUUGUGCGCUGUAGUCUGCCAACUUCUCACUGGUUGUCGUCCGUUCUUUCGCAAUGGAAUCCAUGAGUAUCAUCAGCAUUUGAUGCGUCUUUUCAGUUUGAUGACUGAUCGUUGUUAAGCUUUCUUCGAUCGCUGGAAUUUACUCACUUCUUUCUUCAUCAGCAACAUUUCCUGUUCGUAAGCUUCCAUUCUCUCUUCCGAUCGCGUGUUAACCAUGGUUUUCUCCUUGCCCAGUUCGACAGGCUCUGAUACCAAUUUGAUAGAACACUGAUAUAGUGUUUCUAUUUAUUGAUAUUUGCAACGGAAUUACAAUCUCAAAGCAGUAAAAGAAAAUAUAAAGAACCUAACCCCUUGCCCUUCCUCUCUUUCAAGGAAUAUUGCAGCCUUAAUUCUUCACCCUUCUCCUUCCCAACAGACUCCUAUUUAUAUUCCAUACCCAACUCCUAUUUAUACUCUAACUAACUUUCUCUCUCCAUAACAACUCCUACUUACUCUAUUAUUUUAUUAUGGAGCAUCUACUAACAAUAUUAAAAUUAAGGCUAUUCUCCUAGCACGUGCGGUUAACCUUCUUCUUUUUCCUUCUACUGUAUUGGUGUAUAAUUGGGGGUCUAUCAAAAUGUUACAAGCUGGGGUGAUUCGUCCAAGCCGCAACCCAUAUUCGAGCCCAGUCCUCUUAGUGAAGAAAAAGAUGAGGGUGGAGAUUUUGUGUAGAUUACAGGAAACUCAAUCAAGUAACGGUGGCUGAUAAAUUUCCAAUUCCCGUGAUCGAAGAACUCUUAGAUGAACUUCAUGGUGCGACAGUUUCUCAAAGUUAGACCUAAAUCUGGAUACCACCAGAUUAGGAUGAGGGAGGAAGAUGUGGAGAAAACAGCUUUCGCGCACGCAUGAAGGACAUUAUGAGUUCUUGGUGAUGCCUUUCGGCCUUACGAAUGCUCCUGCCACCUUCCAAUCUCUCAUGAACGAGUGUUCAAACCAUUCCUUCGAAGGUGUGUCCUGGUUUUUUUUAUGACAUUCUAGUUUAUAGUGUGGACAUAGAUGAGCACAUGAAACAUUUAGGAAUGGUUUUUGCUAUCUUGAGGGACCAUGAAUUGUUUGCAAAUAGGUCUAAAUGUGUCAUUGCUCAUUCCCAAGUUCAAUAUUUGGGUCAUCUGAUUUCCAGCAGAGGAGUGGAGGCUGAUGAGGACAAGAUUCGCAGUAUGGUAAAUUGGCCACGGCCGAAAGAUAUAACUGGGCUGAGGGGAUUCCGUGGACUGACUGGGUAUUAUAGAAGAUUUGUGAAAAGCUAUGGAGAAAUAGCUGCAGCCCUUAACCAA